ACCGCCACCACCACUACCUCCCCCACAAACCACCAUCACCACCGCCAUUGCCAUCACCACCAUCGCCAUUGCUAUAAACUUCAUUCAAAUCAAUAAUAAAAUUAUAACAAACUCAAUUAAAAUCUAUACACAAAUUCAGUCAAACUCAAUUAAAUUCAAUUAAACUCCAUCAACUUUAUAACUCUUUUAAAAUCAUUUAAAAUUUAAAUUGAAUACUCCCUCUUAAUAUUACUAUUUAGCUCCAUUUCCUAUAGGAAUCUCUCAUUGCGUAUAACUUUGACUAUCAGUCUCUCUUUCUUUCUCUGUCUUUGUUCGAUUAAUGGGUGGGCUGAAGCCCAAACAAAAGAAGAAAACUACGAGUGAAUGCUUCUGGCCCUAACCACUCUUAAGUUCAGGCAUCUUCAUCUUGCAGCCGAAGUCCACAACAGUGGAGGGAGGUGAAAGUUGAGACCAAGGCCUCUCCUGCAGCCACCGCCACCAGGGAGGCAAUCACAUUACUUUACCUGGUUCAUCUCUCUUAUCUCUCUUAUCUCUCUCUUUCUCUCUCUGAAAUUUUCAAAUGUAUUUGUUUGUUGCAUAUGAAUUUAUACCGUCAUCUACGCGAUUUCUGCUUUUCAUCAAAAUGUGAAGUUUCAGCUGUACCGUUGUUUGCCUUUCUGCAUUUCAUCAACAUCUAUUAUUAGGGAAUUUUCUUGUUAUUUUUCACUUUUGCAGCCAGAAAAGGAAAGAAAGAAAGAAGCUUUAGGUUUUUGCAUUAUUGUAUAUUUCCAAUUGAAUUGAGGGCCAGGAAGGAUCAUAUGGAGAAGCAAUUAAUAGUAGUGUGUUAGGGUGCUCUGUUGGUGUACACAAGCUUGUAAUGAGUGCUUACAUUUGGUCCUAAUGCUAUGUCCUCUGCCACGUCAAUUGGUGUCUAAAACUCAGAAAACCUUUUGGUGUCUUUAGUGUUGUGAAGGACCAAAUAUAAUAAACCUUUUGGUUUAUUAUAUCAUACAUAUAGGUUUUAUAAAAGAAGCAAAUAGCAGGUACCAGCCAAUCGUAGAGAUAACAUUAUGGCUAAUACCUUGUUUUAAUAAUGAAAAUUCUCAUUUCAAGUGAAGAAUGAGGGAAAUUGACAUUUUGAGGACCUGUGUAAAGUAAAAGUCGUUAUGACCAACAAUUUGAGGAAUGAUAUGGGAGAUUUAGAGUUGGGAUUGAUAACGGUUAGGAAAUAAAGUUAUAAACCUCCGGACUCGGCAUAAACAUUAUGGGAACAUCAGCCUCAGGAUCACAUUUUCCCGAACUUGUUUAUAUGGGUUUCUUAUAAAUUUGGAAGUGGGGGCUGUUGUAGUCAUUCUAGCGGAAGAGCUUUUUCAGCAACUAUGUUCAGAAAUAAUACUUAUGUCUUGAAAAAUAUCUUCUCUAUGUUUGUCUUCUGUAAAUUUACACUACUUUUGCGCUUCGCUGGACCAAGUAAUAACAAAAUCAGCAAGAGUUUUUUCAAUGCUAAGUGAUGAGGGGUGUGUAACCAGACAAGAUACUUAUAAUUUAAGUGUGUCUACCUGCAUCAGAUUGGUAAUUAUUUAUGUUAUAUAGCCCAAGUAUGUGAUUGGGAAAUAGAAGCAGAGCUCUUAAUUUAUACCUCAAGUCAAUAAAUGUGAAAAUUUCUCAGUCUAUAUAUUUCUUGAAUAAAGAAGUGUAAUAAGUGUGAAUUUAUUUUUUUUCUUUUGUGGACAAAAGUGUGAAUUGAUCAGUGUGCUGUUGUUGUUUGGAAGAGUUGAGAAAAGAAUAGGAUAAAGCUUAUAUAAGGGAAACCACAGUUCUAAUCUUUCUUGGACAUUGGAUAUGCUGACCUGUGUAUGCUUGCAUUAUUCUUUUUCUGGUUGAAUAGGGGCCAGAGGCCCAACAACAAAAGAACUAACUCACAGUACUUCUGGGCCUUGGGACUCUAACCUGGUCUUCUCUUAGUAAGUGACCAAUAAUAGAGGGAGUGGGAGUGAGAACAGUCAAGAUAGUGCAGCCCAAUUCGAGCUCCAAUCCAUAGUUAGCAGUCCAUCAGCAGCUGCAUUUUUCUACCUGUAAAUGCAAGCCACUUCAGUUUAUAUUAACCGGGUACUAAAUGUAUUCAGCAAUUACAAACAAGCACAGUAAAGGUCAGGAGGGUUUGUUUGUUACUGGAACAGGGAAUAAUUAGAAUCAUAUUAUAUCAAUUUCUAUUAGUUGUUAGAUGCAGCUUACAAGAUCUCACUGGUAUUUUGAUGGUUCUAACUUCUACUUAUGUAGUUGAUUCCGUAUUCUUUCUAUUAACAAUUUUUGGCUUUAGAAAGAUGAUGGUGGAGGAUGGUUUGGAUGCUCAAUAUAGUAAUAUCACGUCUCUAUGGGAAAUGGAAAUCAUCUAGUUUUUCUAUUGAACUGCAAAUAAUGUUACUAUAUAAUUCUUUUUUACUACAUAAUUACUGUCCCAACUCUACUCUUUCAAAGAAAAUUCUUUUUCAUCUUUAACUCGAAAGUCCUGAGUCAUCUACUCAAGUUUACUGUGCGUGGCUAUCAACUCUCGUUAUCUGUUAUGUUGUUAUCAUUUAAACAUGUCGACAUAGUUCACUAUUUCUGCGUCACUGUUUCUGUGAGUCCGCUGAGAGAGAGAGAGAGAGAGAGAGAGAGAGAGAGAGAGAGAGAGAGAGAGAGAUAUGUCCACAAAUAGUUGAUCAUCAACUACCGAAAGUAGACCAUAUUUCUAGUUCACAGCAUAAGAUCACUAGAGGUGAAAUAGACUUUGCCCCAUCCAUAAGCCGAAAGAAAGAGUGACAAAGAAGGGUUUCACUUCUCCUAAGCAAGUUUCUAAUGUGGACAUGUAAACCCUUAUACGAAUUUCAUAUCACUUUGACUUAUUUAAGUAGAAAAACCGGGAUAGUUGAUAACUUAUAUAUUACAUUGUUGAGUGUGUCAUAUCUCUAUGGUCAUGACAUUUGAAUAUUUUUCCUUCACUGGACUUGCACUGAGUUUUUCAUUACAUUUACCAUAUACAUAAACUUGUUUUCAGUAGUAUUUGUGCACCAGACUCUACUGAUUGCUGAUGAUGUUUACAAAAGUUACAUUAUUGUUGUUACUAGUGACAUGGAUGAAGACUGAUGAUUUUGUGGUUCGAGAAAUUGGUAAGGUACCCCCUUACCUUACUGCCCAAAAUUAUGCUAGAAAUAUUGUACUUAUGAUAUAUAAAACUAAAACUAUGUCAAUACCAAUGCUUGUGAAGUAAGGUUGUAAAUGGGUGCCUGUUUGUUUUUUUCCCCUUUCCAGCUUUCUUGUAUUAUUAGGGAUUGACUAAGAGAAAAGAGAGUUAACAAAAUAAAGGUUAUUUUGUUGAGGAUUGACUUAAGAGAAAAGUGGAUCAGUCUGGUGGAUUUCAAUAAUUAUUCAAAGAAAAAGACACAGAGAGAGAGAGAGAGAGAGAGAGAGAGAGAGAGAGAGAGAGAGAGAGAUUGUGAAAGAGACAUCGAUUGUGAAAUGCUAGGUUGACCUUUAAUGACUUUAUAUAAUUUGGUGAAGACAAGAUAAGAAAACAAAAGAGAAUAGGUGAUAAAAAGAAGAAAACCUCUGUUUUGUAGGCCACUGAAAUUGUCCAAAUUAGGGGCCUGUGGAGCCAAAGAUCCAUUGAGUUGUAUGGUCCAAAGAAAAAGAAAAUUGGACCAACAUGAAUGGGGCCUCAGUGAGAAAAUGAGAUCAGAAAAAAGGAGAGAAUUCUUAGGGUGUUUAUUAGGGGCCUACGUUUAAACGACUUUUGACAUUCAUGAGUGCUUACUUUUGGUAUUUAGCAUAAAAGAAAUCAAGGAACGCGUUUUUCUUACGCUCAUGAACACAAGAAAGGAAAAAGAGAGAAAUAAAACAACAAAAGAAACUUGAAAAGAUUGGGUUGGAAAAGAUAUAGUGGCAAAGCAUCUGUAAAAGAUGGAAGCAAAAGGCUGGGUGAUGACUACCACCUUUUCUUUGGCACAAGCACACCAUACAAAAAUCUUUUUUCUUUCUUUCUCAUAAGAAGUGAAAACCCAAUCUUUUUUCUUUCUUUUUCACUUCGGCCAUUCACCUCAAAAAUCCAAGGGGUUGGCUUGGCCAUUAAUCUUAAGUUGAUUUUUAUUUAUAUCUAGUGUGCCAAUUCAACUUUCAUCUGUACUUUAUGAUUCUUAACAUGCGAAUUUGAAUGUUAUAUGCCUGCUUUCCCUUUGAAAUGACUUGGUACUCAACUCAUUAUUUUUUUUCAGAUUUAGCAUAUUAAUAUUCUCUAUUGGACUGAAAUAUUUCAGGUUUCUUUUUCAUAAAAAAGAGUUUAGGCUAGUUAUAUUAUCUCAUCACUCAAUCACUUGACAAAUUUUCUUAAACUUUAAAAGAAAUGUUGAUUUAUAUUGUUAUGUCAUUAACUACUUCAAAUUCAAGUGUCUGUAUCACGAUUAUGAAAUGGUUUUGGCAUUGAUAUCAUCCGCUUAAGUUUUCUAUGGUUAUGCAGGUCUCAUAGGUUCGCUCGUCUGGAUAAGCCAAAAAAGCACGCGCACACUUGCACAGCACACAAUCAAGUUGAGGCUGUUCUUGCACCAAUUCAGCCACGAUGACUCAUGACAGUAAUUUCACUUUUUAAUUCAAUAUAUAAUUGUGUUUUUUACAGGGAAAGUGUGCAUGAAAACAAGGUUGGUUUAUACUUAAUUAAAUACUAGUGUGAUAGAGAAAGUGAAAGCAUGUUUGAUUAAGGAAGGGAUGUGGAUGGCUUUGGCAGUGGGGAAAAUAAAAAUAAAAAUAAGAGAUGAUAGUUGGGCAAGUAGGGCUUGAUUGGUUUCCAGCAAGAAGAAGAAAAAGAAAGGUAGGGUUGAUUGGUGGUGGUCACCCACCCGCCUAUGUUUUAGCCCAUACAUGAUUGAAGGGAAGCUAAAAAUUUUGCCAAAAGCUGGUUCAUGUCUCACGAGAGCAUCUAUGUUGUCUAAGCCAAAAUCCCUCACUCCUAGGAGAGGCUUCUUCAUGACAAAAGCACUUUUCCCCACUUAUACUGAAAAGUAGUUUGAUCAUUAUACUUUCCAAUAUUGCUUCCAUGGGUUGUGUUGUUUUUAGGGCAUUAAAAUUGAAAGUCCCUAGGUUUUGUUUACGUGCUUUUUACAACUUUUUAUCCCCCUUUGUGGCAAUAGGUAGAAGAAUGAAAUCAAUAUUGUGUUUGACGAGUGCUUAGCACGUGCAUCAUGAAUUACAAUGAUGAGUUGAAGAUGAACAUGAUGAUGACUGUGUUUCGAAUGGGCAUGUGAUCAAACCUAGAUGUGCCAAUGUAUCUUUCAUCUGUCGUUUUAUUUUAUCAGUAAUAAUAGCUAGAAGAGAAUUUUAAGAUAUGUACAUGUAUUUUCGACAUGGGAAGGAAUGAAUCAAAAUAUUUCUAAUCGUUUUUGAACUGGUGUUGUCUAAUAAUACGAAGAACUGAAGCAAGACUAGAGCUAGAAAAUGUUUUAAGUUGGAGAUGACAUCUUCAAAGAAAGGUUGUGUUCUUUUGAUGAAGCCAAAUUUUAGAUCCCCCAAAUUCAUUCCUCGAAAUCGACUUUUGUUUGUUUUAUUUAGUGCAAGAGAGGAGAUUCGAGCUUAGGACACCUUCUAACAGUUGGAAGGAGAGAUGUACCGUUUAGAUACCUAUAAGAAAUUGAAAUCAAAAUAAUUGACACUCACUAAGAAUUUGGAAAUGCAUUCUUAAGAAUGCCAAACCCAUUCCCCUUGGAAAGCAACUUUGCUUUUCGUUCUUCAUUUCAACUAACUAAUCCCAUUAUUGGUAGGUUGAGAAAAUGCUUAUGUCAACCCUCAUCAUGAUGUUGGAAAUUCUUAAAAGUCAACCUAUAAUUUGUCCUAUAAUACGAAGACAUUAGUAGCCAAAGUCAGACCAAACCUUAAAAAAUUUAAAAUAAACCCACUUAUUUUUGCAGGAUUGGCUGCAAUGGUGCCCCAAAAGACCAUUAGGGUCAACCUGUAAUUAUAAUUUAUAUAUAAACAUGUUUAAAUUUUAGAAGCAUGACAGGUUAUGGUUGGGUUCUGGGGUCUCCUUAGCAUGCUCGAGUCAACUCAGCCAACCUGUGACCCAAUUACCCUAGCUGGCUACCUUUUGUUGUACAGUGUAGGAAGACUGGUGGUGCUUCAGAUCAGAGAUAGGAUGGUACAAAUUACUACGGCAGAAUCUUGAAGGGACUUGUUUAUAGGGCCAGCUAUUUGGUCCAGGUCCCAACUUUGCACCUAGUCAUUUUAUUUUUGUUGUUUCUACAUGUUUUUUUAUUCUUCAAAAUAACUACUAUUUAGAAUUCUAGAAUUCAUAUAAUAAACUUGUAGCUGAAACGAUUAAGAGCAAUUAUGCUCGAUGUCCUGUGUUCAAAUCUCCUUCUUUCGAUAUUGCUUAUAUCAACAACAACAAAAAUUCUGAAAUUUGGAGAUGUGAAUUGAUUUAUUUUGAUACAAUAAGAACUUUGAAAUAAAUUUGAAACACGAGAAGCAAAAACCAAAACUUUUGUUACAAGUGUGAGCUGUUGGAAUAUACCUUGCUUUCCCCGUUACCUCUCCUCUAUUGCCUUCAGAAAGUUGUUCGACGUCUAUCCAUAUUCCUCCAACUCUCUUUAACUUACCAAAAACAAAACAAAAAUUAAAAGCCUCUCUGUAUUUUUAGGAUAAAUAAAAGAUCUUUUACAUAUUAUGUCACGCCUAAUCGAAAGUAAUUACUCAAUCGCAACGGUUAAUAUUAAAACACGUCACAAAUUUACGCGAUCAAUCAAUAAAAUACAUCGUACAUAAUUUAUAUAUUUUCUCUUCUUUGUUUUUUUCUUUAGUGCAAUUAUUGAUGUUGAUUUUCUCUAAAAUCCAUUAUUUGCACUCUAAACAUUAUCUAUUUUUUAUAUUAAUUCCAUGCAUGGUAUGUAAAACCAAACCACUGAUUGUCGAUACAAAAUUGAUGGAUGGGAAAAUCCCCAAGUAGAUACUGACGUGUCAUUAUAUGAAGGAGAAGAAUCAAUCGUUCCCACCACUAAUCUUCCGUACACACGUGGCAGAUUAUGAGAGUGACAAGUCAGUUAAUGCAGGGGUCCCACAAAGAGGGGCCAUUUGAGUUCUGUAGUCAUUUUCAUUCUCAGUUCCAGUUUUGCACGAAACGCAGCAGCAACUUUAUACGAUGCUUGCUUGGCAGGGGAAUUAAUUAAUGACACAUAAUUAAGUUUUAAAAAACAACCAAUUAAAAAUAAAUUGAUGAUCAGAUCAGGAGAGGCUGCUUAGAUCAUGGGGCCCACUUAACCUAAUAACCUAAAGUUUUUGCUAAAUUUGCCUCCAAACUAUAAUAAAUUGAACACAUGAAGAUCUGCUACAAUUUGACUUGAGCACAGUUUUGCCCGGCCUGAUUUCUGUGAGCCGUUGAUUUCCUUGACAUUCAAAGGCUGUGAUCUAUCAUUUUUAGACUCUUUUUUUACAUCACAAAUUACCAUGUUUCAUAAAUUAGUAUUAUAAUAAUCAUCACAAUGGCUGAGUUGUUGAUUGAAAAACACAAAAGGUUGAAUUGUAACAUGUCACGCAUUACGUCAUAACGAUCAUUAUAAAGAUUGUUUUCUUGUCGCCCCUUCUCCCAAAUCUAAUUAUAUUUUUUUCAAUGCUUUUUGUUUUUUUUUUUUAAAUCGAACAAUAUAGUGUACAAGAUAAAACUAAUCAAAUAAAGUUUUAAAGUAAAUUCUAAAUACGUGUAAUCACUCGCAAAUCACACAUUAUAAACUUGUGAUUUUACAUACACAAUUAGCAUUUAAACUUGAAUGUUUGACUUCACAACUCAUUUUUUAUGCACUCUUUUACCGUUUAGGCCACGACUACAUGUUUUUAUCUUACUAAACUUUUAAUAAAUUAGCUUAGUUUCUUUGCAAAUGUCAAGGUAGCUACAAGUUUAGCAUGCUUAAAAUAAAUUAAUGGUGCAUUGCCAUAAGGGGUCCUUAUCAUUCAACCAACCCUCUCUCCAUCUCAUCCACCCCGAGAGAAAAGUCCAAACCUCACCCUCCAACUCCAAUCUCCAUCCCUAGUUUUUUUUGCUCUUUUGUUCUUAGAGAGCUAGAGAGAGAGAGAGAGAGAGGAGGCGACUAGGCUUAAAGGUCAAUUGCUAUUUGCUAUAAAUAUUAAUUUAAGAAAAACAUAAUCACAAGCACCAAUCAUCUUUCCACACAUGCCCAUGAUUUUUUUUUCUUCCCAACAAAUUUUUCUUUUUCUUUUGGCAGAAGAAGAUAUAAAUAUAAAAUAUAUUUGUGUGUCAAGAUCAAAGAUCAAAGAUCAAAGAUGAAAGAGCCAACAUCCCAAUGGCUUGGCUGGGAUGGACCACCUGCGCACCCAAACCAUAAAUAAAUGGCUCACAGCUCUACUGUGCACUACUAGCCGCACAGUGUACGCAGUGCAGGGUCUUUGUUGAAAAAAAUCCCUCCCCCUUUGGGCUUGGAGCCAUGGGCCUCACAAAUUUUGUGAAAUAAAUUGGGAAAAAUAUUAUUUAGUUUUCUUCCAACUUAUGGUCUACAACAAAAGUUAUAACCUAGCACACAAAAUUCAACCACCAACACCCCCUAUCCCUCUCUUUCUUAUGUCACAUUGACAUGCCUCACCCAUGUCAAAACCAACGCGCACUAGGUCCUUUAGGACCCCAAAGUUUAGGCCAGGUAAUUAAACAAAGAUAUCGAGUACCACAAUAACUGUUCUUAACCGUUUUACUUACAAGCUCUUUAUUUUAUCGUUUUUAUUUCUUCAUUAACUAAUCUAAUAUCUUAUAUUAUGGUACUAAAUUGUCAAUUGCAAUUUGCUAAAAUGAUAGCAGAUGAACUGCUAAUAUCAAUCAUCUUCUUGAAAAUCUUUGUAUUUAGGUUUGGAACUUUUCAAAUAUUGUGACACUUUAUGAUCUUAGGAGGCAAUUAUGGAUUCUGAAGGAAAGCUCGUAAUUUUAUUUGUUGAGUUUUAAAAAAAGGGAAAAUAAUACAUAAAUGUUUGAUGAUGCUCGUUUGGUGCCUCGUAUUGGAUUGAAUUGGAUAACUCUCUAUGUUUGAAGUACGUUAAAGGAAGAAAUGAAAAAAUGUAGACCAAGUUGAAGGUAGAAGAUGGAUUACUUAAGAAUCAUUCACUUCUACCUUCAUUUUCUCCUUCAACAUACUUUAGAUUUAGUAACUUAUCCAAUACAAUAUAAUCCUAAACACCAAACGAAGUGUGGUAACAUAAUUAGAAAGUGAUUACACUACAAGAAAACGCGUUAACCCUAAAACCCACCCUGUAUAAAAAUCAAAAUGAACCAUCUUUAUUGUGUCUGACUAAAGUUUAUAAGCUCACCUUAUUAAAGUCUUAAUCACCCCAUGUGGGCCCACGAAAUUAAAAUAAUACGAAGCAAUAUAAAAUAAUAAUAAUAAACUUUGUACUAAUAAAUAGGAAAAACUUAGGGGAAUGACAAAAUCCUCAGACACAGACACCUCAUUCUUUAACCCAAAUGGAGAUAAAUUAAUGCACUUAAAUGAGUUAAUUAAUCUCAAUCUACAGGGUAUUAUCGAGGUUGUUCGCAGGUAUUUUUAUAGGAGUUCGUUUUCAAAGAAACCGACGUUUUCUCAGUUUUUAAUUUGUCUUAAUUAUUGAAGGCAAGAAAAUGUGAUUAAUCUUUGUCGCUGUCGAUACUAGGCAUGUUCUUGAAUUCAUUUUUUGUUAUUUGUUAUUUUAUUUUUAACUUUUGUCCGAGUUAUUUACAUUAACACUCCCUGAAGUUUUCGGUGUUUUCACAAAGCCCCUUGAAGUUUCAAAAAUUAUACGAACACCUUCUGAGGUUACAGAUUGUUUUCACAGAAUCCUUUUUCGUUGAUUGUUCGUCCGAAAGUUUAUGAUUUCAUUUGAAGGAAAAAAAAAAAAAAACUUACGCAAAUGAAAAAAUUAACCUUAAUGAAUGCAUGUGCAAUUUAAUCUCAAAGGCUAACUUCGACGUUUGGAGAAAUGUUUUAUAUAAAAUCAUCAAUAUUUGGAUGAAAAAUCAAUAGAAAAAGUGUUUUGUGAAAAUAAUUUAAAACCUUAAGGAGUGUUCACAUAAUUUUUAAAACCUCAAGAGGUUUUGUGAAAACAUCGAAAAUCUCAAAGCGUGUUAGUGUAAAUAACUAUGUUUAUUAUGCAUGUAUUUGAUUAAACAAAACAAAAGCCUCCAAAACCAGAACUGUUAAGAGGUGAAUAAAGUAAUCAAGUGGGUGUUGCAAUCAAACAUGGCCCAUGUGGCUUGAUUAGUAGGUGUCCAUAAAACUAAUCAAAAAAAUUUGGGAAAAUUUCAAUAGGCUCCAAGACAGGGCACUGUGUAUAAUAAUAGCAUAAAUAAUUAUAACUUUAAAAAAAUGUCUUAACAAAGAAGAAAAUAUUAUUAAAAAAAAUUUUAAAAAAAAUUAUGUUGCUUUUGAAGGAGGAUGGAGGAGAAUGACGCGUUACGUGUUUGGUGUAGUACAUGCAGGAAAAAGAGCAUUAUCUUCAGACAUGGCAUGACAAAAUUCAACCCAACCAUGUUAUUAGCCUUUAUCAUUGUUAAAGACACUAUUAUUAUAAAAACAAAUGUUUGUUUAAGCUACAAAAAAAUGAUUUUAAAAUGUCAAUAAAUUAUGUGUUUUUGUUUCACUGUUUUCUGUGCUACUUUUUUGUAUUUAAUUAGCCUCGCUACGGGAGAAGUUGUAUUCAUAUUUGGUACUUUAGUUGUUAUGUACUUGUUUGUUUAUCAUAUCAAAAAAAUACUGUCGCUAUUUUAUCAACAAAAAAUAAAAAAAAUUAGCCUAGCCAAUAAAACUUCUCAAUCAAAAUUAUGACAAAAUUAGCAACACAUCUAAGUUUUCUGAAAUUAGCAUAUCUACCAUAUUCCUGCCAAGAACAGCAAGCAUUUUAAGUCUUCUGAUUAACAUCUCUACCAUAUUCCUCCCAGAAUCUGAUAAGCUCAGAAUAAGCUCCUCUUGAAUCAAACAAGGAAUAUAACAUAUGGUAAGAGGAUCCAUUAAUUUCCCAAGUAGCAUGUUGAAGGAGUUCACAACAACCCAUCUAUAGAAAUUCCAUUUUAUCCAUAAGAGACUAGAAAAGGGCCAAAAAGAGAUCAUAUCAUCCUAGUCCUAGCACUCAAAGCUAACUAAGUGCCCGUUUGGUAUGCCUAUUUGGAGUCAAAAACACUUUCUUCAAAAUCUUUGGCUACACAACCCGUUCCUAAGACCAUGAAACACCCAAGACCAAGCUUUCUUCCUCUUUUUCUUCUUUUUUGUUUUUAAAUCUCAAGUAACUAGGUUAGUUGUUCCAAAAUCGUGUGCAGCAGUAUCACUAUAAGUUGUUCGGUUCCUAGUGACAGGAGUUUGAUGAAUCACUUUAAUCCUAGUUACCAUGAGAACUGCUAGAAAUACUUCAUUUGGGUGGUACUAAAUGCUAAGUCGAAUCACCGAGAACUAGUUUCAAUUCAACAUACCAAGGAGCAAAAGAGUGCAAGAAACCCUAUGUUAAAAGAAACAUAACAAGGUGUCAAAUGAGAGGUGCAUUCUCAACAUGAUGUGCAAGUUCAGAAUUCAUACAUCAAGUUAGCAACAAUGAACUUCUAUCUAUGAAACCCAGCAGAAAAUCUGGCAGUCAAUUUAUAUAUAAGUGAACUUCUAUCCAUAAAACCAUUAAAUUAGCAAGCAAAUGAACUACUGUCUCUAAAACCAACAGAAUGAACGUCAAUCUAGAAAACUCGCAAAAUGAAUUAAAAUCCGGUAAGUUGUUUUUCCAUUUAUAGUUCAUUUGUUGCCAAGUAUACAACAUAUUAUAACCACCUUAACCAGAAGAAAAUGCAGCUUUCCUAUUUAAACAUUGAAGUACCAUAGCACCAAUAUCCAUGUUCAAAAGAAAUACGACUCUACUAGGCUUCCCUGUUAGACGAUUUGUUGAAAUACUAGUCUGUCUAGACUAGAUACACAAUAAGCAAAGGAGACUCACAAACGUGACAAUUCACAAGGAUUAAGUCAUAACAGAGGCGCCAAGAACAUAGUUCAAUAUUUAUUGACAUAUUAUCAGAGUAGACUAAGCUGGACCUCUGCGAUAAAUUGUGAGUUGCAAAAAACCAACCUCCCCUGCUUGUCAAAAUGCUGCUCCUCAGCACCUCCAGGCUGAAGCGGAGAUGAGCUCUCGACGCUGCCAGCAUAGAACAAGUGACUCUUGACGCUUCUCCACAUGAAAUCCCCUUGCUGGAGUCCUCUUCACCACACAUUCUGCCUGCGUUUCAGUAAAGUUACUGAAGGGUACAGGGGUGAAACCGGCAGAGGCAAAAAGCGUUUUCCAAAGGGGCAUUUUGUCCGGGGUUCGAAGACGCCCUAGAACAGUGCUCUCAAUCUUCGGCUGAAGGAGGAACCUCUCAAUCUUGUUCACAGCAUCUGAGGUCACAUUAACCGCAUCAAGAGAUUCCAAAAGGUUUAUGUAGGACUGGAGGGCCUGCAGAAUGUGCUGCGGGAAUGGAAGGUCACUUCUAUCACACCCUCUAUCCAAGGACACCAUAAUUUUGGGAGACAGUUGCUUCACAAAGCGAAGGAGAUUGGGCAACGCAGCCGGUUGAUUUGAAGUAGACCAAAUGGGGAAAUUCACAGCAACUGUCUCAUUAUCGUUGGCUCGAAAAAUGGGCAGGGAGUAAGAGCUCUGGUCCAGAGAAUCAAAGUUAACCACUUCAAGCUCAAAACUUAUCCCAAUCUCAUUGGCAAAUUGGGUUAGAUUAUCACGCAUAAGCCCGAGCUCAACCGGGUGGUGAGUCGAAGGAGAGGCAAAUGCAGUGAUUCUGAGUGAAGGGGCAGUAGCUCCCCUAUUCCUGACAGGAAGCUCCUGCAUAAAGGAAGCCCAAUGAGCACCAAACCCAAUAUCAAAAUCGACAAUGUGAAUCUGAUCUGUGUCUGAGACGGCCUCAAGAAGAGCCUGGUUGCAGGUGAAAUUGACAAACUGAAUGAGUGGAGAAACUUCAGAGAACACUUUGUAAGCACCCAUUUUGAAGAUGACAUCAAAUGGGGUUGGGGUUCUUGGUGGAGGAGAGGUAGCUGGAUUGUUCAUGAGGAGGAGGAGUUGCAAAGCCUCCUUGAAAUAGAAAGCAGCCCUCUGAAGGGGCUUUCCAACAGGGGAAAGCUGGUGAUUGAGCCGCGCCAAUAUCCCUUGCGCGUGUGAAAAGUUCCCAGUCCCUACCAGCUCUGCGGCCUUAUAGAGCUGGUCGAGCAAAGUAUGCUGGAGCUGUUGCUGGUGAGCCAUUUCUUCACCAUGGCCCACCGCAACCUUCGGCUUCGGCACCAUCAAUGGCUUCUGCGGAACAUGAUGCUGCUGAGGCAGAAAUUGCAUGCCUUGAGGAUACCCAAAUUGCUGCUGCUGCUGCUGCUGAUGUUUUCUCAGCAAAAACUCAUGACCUGGAUCAGAAAACUGAACUUUUUGGAUCUGAUGCGAGCCAGGGUCUACAAUUCCACCCGAGUUGUGGCGCUUGGCCUGGGACUGAAGCAGGUGGUGUUGUUCUUGCUGGGCAUAAGCCAGUGGCAUAAAAAAGUUUGGAUUUUGAGAAAGCUGAGACUGCUGAUUCUGGUUGUUCAUGAACAGCUGUGGGUUCAGAAUCUGAGGCUUCUCAUCUGGGCUGCUCUCAAACUGUUGCUGCUGGUAAACCACAUGACCAAGAGGCAAAGAAACAGGAAGAGCCAUAGUGUUUGAUGAAUUAAAGAAAAUGGGGUUUUGAAUGUUGCAAUUGACACUGUUGCCCCCACCACUGUUGUUGUUGUGCAUGAACCCAACAUUUGAAACCUUGUAAUUUAGCAACCCCGAAGAGCCAGGCACAAAACCCACCUUCCCAUUACUGCUAUUAUUGCCGUUGCUCACAAACCCAGAACUGGAAAACCCGAAAUUCGGCCCCGAAACGCUCGUGCCCGAAACGCUGCUUCCGAUUAGGUCGAAACCCGGGCCCUGAUCGACGAUUCCCAAACCGGCAUUGCCGUCAAAAUCAAGAGGGUUGCUGUUGUUGUUGUUGCUGCCGUUCUGGUUCCCGCUCUGCAGGAGCUGCUUGAGCCCAAACGACGUGUCGUCCACAUCCCCAGCGAUCCACCGGAGAAGUGACUGGUCUUGACCCGGAGACGCCGCCGUUCCGGAGAGCAUGGUCUCCCAGUCCUCCAACCCACCAAGCCCAAGCCCGCAUCUCUCGACGCCUCCUGAUCCAGUCACGGCCUCCAACCCGCCGCUCGGAAUCGAUUGAAGCUCGCAGGCCCACUCGUCUUUGGUCGACGCGGGUCCCACCGGAGGCGAUGUCUCCGCCGCCAGCGGCGUCGUUUUGUCACCCCCACCACCACCGCCGCCGUUGAAAGACGAAGAGAGAGUCGAUGCAGAAGUGGGUGGGCUCGGGCUUCUUCUCAUAUGAAGAACAGAGUUGGGUUCGCUGCUCACAAAGCUGUUGUUGUAGAAAAAGCAGUCGUCUUUCUGGCUCAAGUACUUGUUGCUGUUGCUGUUGAUGUUGUCUGUGAAAAUUGAAGCUAAGCUUGUAUUUGCGAUUUCUAAGACCCCCUUCCCUUGCUGAAAAUGAAAGGGCAUCCCUCUUGCAUAAAUAUCACAAACCCAAAAAUUAAAAUUAAAAAAAGCUCAAACCUUUGGAAAGAUCAAACCAAGUUGCAGAAGAUUUGCUCAGGGAAACAAGAACAAGAGGCAGAGCAAUGGGUUAAGCUCAGAAAAUGGGUUCUUUUUAGAUUUGUGCAGAAAAAGCUCUUCGUUUUUCUUCUGAGUCUUCCUCAAAUUCACACCCACCAUCCACUCUUUGCAUGCCAUGAAAUCUUUUCAGCUCAAACUAAACAAACCCAUUUCAAAAAAUUGAUUCUUUCUUUUCUGUAGCUCACCAUUACUGAACAAGUUCUCUGUCUUCCUUCUCAGUUCCAUCAUAUCUUACUUUACUAUUUGCCAGAGUUCCAUUUCAACUCUCUCUCUCUCUCUUCUCUUUCUCUCUCUCUUUCUCUCUCUCUAGACUUGGCAGCAGCUGUUGUUGUUGUUGUGGGUAGAGGUGGUGGUGUUGUUGUUUCUUCUAAUCUCUUCUUCUACCCUUGUGUCGCAGCAGAGAGUACUCUGUACCCUUCCCUGUUCUGCCAUGGAUGCGUGCAUCAUAAAAAAGGUAAUAAAGUGUGCUCUCCCUCCUCACCAUCUCUCUCUAGUCCCUAUCUCUUUCUCUCUCUACAAUUUUUAUUUUUAUUUUUCCAUUCUCUUUUUUUAUUUUUGCUUUUCUUUCUUUCUUCUGAACCAAUUUAUCUCUCCCUCUCUCUUUCUCUGUUAUAUUGCUGGGUUUCUGUCACCUCCGCAUAGUGGUCACGGCAUUGUCUUUACCUUAUUUUACGAAGGGUAAAUGGGCGCUCUGCUUUUUGAUAAAAGGGCACUCCGGAUAUUAAAUUACAUUAUAGGCCAUGUCAGAUCCUGUCUUUCCUUGCAUAGAUAGAUACAGUACAACUAUUCAUGUUUCCUUUUUGCCACAGGCACAACUAUUCAUGUUCAAAGUUCAAUCCAACUAUCCAUUCCUGUUUCCUUUUUGACAGAUUCAAUUAGAUCUUCAAAUCUUAAAAAACCAUGUUUAAAUCGGGUAAUGAAUUAACACAAACCAGUUCUUUGGUUCGUUGGUGAAAGUGGUCACAUCUUCAUCCCGAAUUCACAUUUGUUAAAAAGGGUAAAAUUGUCAAUUUAACAGCUACAAUUAUGCUUGCUCUUGGUAAAACUAUUGAGAGCAUAAAUAAGAUAGUUUUUUUUUUUAAAUAUAAAUUCAAAAACAGAACCUCAAGUGCAAAGAUAACUGCUCUUAACCAAUUGAGUUACAAACUCCUUAUAAUAAUAUGUUUUCUUUUAUUAUUAUUAAUAAAUCUACUUUUGGUGCAUUCAUCUUUAUAUGAAGGAAGCACCAACUUCAUUCAAUUACAAGAGACAUUGUGGAAAAAAAAAAGUCAAGGAAGAUAACCUAUGAGGCUCUUCCUCAAUUUAUAGAAAUAUAGAGCAAUUAAAAGCAAAUUCAUCUAACAAUUGAGUCAUUGUGUUUACAUUUACGAUACCUUUACUGACAAGAAUAGUCUCAAAGUUGUUGAGCAAUUAAGAGCAAAUCCAACUAACAAAUGAGCCACUAUGCUUACAUGCACAAUACCUUUAUUGACAAGCAUAGACUCAGAAUCGUCUAGCAAUUAAGAGCAAAUCCAACUAACAAAUGAGUCACUGUUUUUACAUGCACAAUACCUUUAAUGACAAGAGUAGACUCAAAAUCGCCUAGUAAUUAAGAGCAAAUCUAGCUAACAAAUGAGCCACUGUGCUUACAUGCACGAUACCUUUACUAACAAGAGUAGACUCAAAAUUGCCAAGCAAUUAAGAGCAAAUUCGACUAACAAAUGAGCCACUGUGCUUACAUUCACAAUACCUUUACUAACAAGAGUAGGCUCAAAAUGGCUUAGUAAUUAAAAGCCAAUCUAGCUAACAAAUGAGCCACUGUGCUUACAUGCACGAUACCUUUACUGACAAGAGUAGACUCAAAAUUGCCAAGCAAUUAAGAGCAAAUUCGACUAGCAAAUGAGCCACUGUGCUUACAUUCACAAUACCUUUACUAACAAGAGUAUGCUAAAAAAUGUAGAGUAAUUAAGAGCAAAUCUAGCUAAAAAAUGAGCCAAUAUGUUUACAUGCACGAUACCUUUACUGACAAGCAUAGACUUAAAAUUGUUGAGCAACUAAGAGCAAAUCCAGCAAAAAAAUGAGCCAUUGUGCUUACAUGCACGAUACUUUUACUAAUAAUAGUGUACUCAAAAUCGUCGAGCAAUUAAGAGCAAAUCCGGCUAAAAAAGGAGCCAAUAUGUUUACAAGCACAAUACCUUUAUUGACAAGCUUAGACUCAAAAUUGUCGAGCAAUUAAGAGCAAAUCUAGCUAACAAAUGAGCCAUUGUGCUUACAUGCAUGAUAUUUUAACCGAUAAAAGUAGACUCAAAAUCGCCAAGCAAUUAAGAGCAGAUUCGACUAACAAAUGAGCCACUGUGCUUACAUGCACAAUACCUUGCUGACAAGAAUAGACUUAAAUCAUCAAGCAAUUAAGAGCAAAUCUAGAUAACAAAUGAGCCACCUUACACGCACGACGCCUUAGUAACAAGAGUAGACUCAAAUCGUUAAGCAAUUAAGAGCAAAUCCAACUAACAAAUGAACUACUGUGAUUUCAUGCAUGAUACCUUUACGACAAAAGUAAACUCAAAAUUGUUGAGUAUUAAAAGAAAAUCUAGCUAACAAAUGAGCCAUUGUGUUUACAUGCACGAUACAUUUUCUGACAAGAAUUGACUCAAAAUCGUCGAGCAAUUAAGAGUGAAUCCAGCUAAUAAAUGAGCCACCAAAUUUACAUGCACGAUACCUCUAUUGAAAAUAGUAAACUCAAAAUCGUGGUUUUGCAAUGACGUCACAUGCACUCAUCUUAUGCUUGGUAUAUUUUUUAAAUGAGCAGAACACUUUUCUUUAAUAUCUCUUAUUCAAAUUUGUGAUUGAAUUUUAUGAAUGAAAUUACAAUUAUAGUCCAUGUAGUUUUGCGAAUCGUUCACUUGAAGACUUAUAGUUUCAAAUUAGAUAAUUGUAGUCCUAUAAAUUUCUUAAUAUUACAAUUAAGGACAUUCAUCAAAUAAAAACAUAGAAGUUUAAGUUUUUAUCAUGUGAUAAACAUAUGGAGGGGUAGAGUCAACUUUUUUUGGAGGUAUAAUCCUUCGAUUCGCACCUCAAAGUCACGUGAUAAAACACAUAGAGGGGAAAACUCAACUUUUUCGAUUUGCUCCUUAGAAUCCCUAACUUUACUAUGAAAAUUCUUAAAACCCUAACAAAUUGUUGUUAAUGGCAGCAACCUAGCAUUUUGGUUUAAACCACACUCUAAAAGGUAAAUUUCCCCCCUCUUUUUUUUUUUUUUUUUUGGUUACAUUGGAGUUCAACCCUGAGGUUCGAACUGAUGUGCCAUGGCGGAAGGGGUAAAGUUUUCCCUUUCAGUGUUUAUUAAAGUUAAAAAAAAGAUCACGUUUCAUUUAUUGAUUUAACAUAUUGUACUCAAUGGGAAUCUUAAACAAACUAAAGCAUUUAUAUUGCUAAAAUUGAAAUCGCAUGUCCCUCAAGUGAGAAAUCGGCAAAACUACUUAUAAUAUAAAAAUAAUUUGGCGAGUAUGUGGUGGUUUAGUAGAAAAUCACUAGCUAAAAUAUACUUUUAAUUUGGGCAACCAUUACACAAAACUACACACUAGCUAAGGAAAAUUCUAAUUUGUAAGGUCGAAACUAUAGCUUGAAGAGGUGGUGGUGGGAGGGGUUGGCGGUGGCCAUGGGUGGGGGGAAGCCACCAUCCCUUAUUUUUUUCAAAAUUUUGUAUCUUGUGAUUGUGAACUUGACCCUUUGUAGAGUUGUUGAAGCCACUCUCUCAUUUCAAGCAGAUACGCAUGGCUCAUGACUCACCAAGUUUUCCUCCUCAAGUACUAUAUUUUAAAAUUAAAAGCUCGUUAACACAAAUAUAUAUAUAUACACUAACAAACACACAAAAACGAAAAACCCCUCAUCAAAAUGAUAGUUAAAUAAAAAUAAAGAUAUUAUGAACUUUUGAUUUUAUUGUGGGCUAUAAAAUAUGAAUUUCAAGCACCACCCUCAAAGAUAAAGUUAGAAGAAGUGUACUAUAUUUAUUUAUGAUAUCAAUCACCUAUGAAUCUGACAUAUACGGGGUAACUACAAACAUGUUCAAAAUUUAUGUUAAAACCUAAUCUUCGAAGAGGUUUAGGCCUUAUUUGGGAUUUUUUUUUUCAAUAAAAAUAUGCUUUAAGGUGUUUGGUAAAAAUAAAAUAUUAUGAUUAUUGUAAAAGUAAUGGUCUUUUGACAGCAGUUUUUAAAAGCAAGCUCUGAGUUUCUUUUCAAAGUUGGUUUCAAAAUAAGCAGAGAUGAACAUUUAAUAAUUCUUUUUAAUCUCAAAAUACCAUGACAUCACCCCCACCUCCACAUCCAACUAUACCAUCACCUCCUCCACCACCACCUCCACCUAUACCACCACCACGUCGCCACAACCAUUACCACCUCCUCCUCAUUAACCUCCAGUAUCCACCAUCACCACUACCACAACCACAACUACCACCUUCACCUUCAUCACCACCACCACCACAUCCACCCCUACCACCACAUGAUUAGCACAUAACACUUUCAACAUCAUGUCUAUUUUAGUCAUUAUUCACAGUUACAACUGUUUUAUAUUAAAAUUUACCAAACAGUUUUGACAAGAUUUUUUGUACUAACAGCACUUCAAAAAUAUUGUUUAGCUACUUUACUUUACAGCUAAUUAUUUUCAAAGCACAGCUGAAGCAAUUUUUUUUUUUUAAGUAACAGCAAUCCCAAACUGACCCUUAAAGGGUUAAUUGAGCCAAAAUGACUUUUAUCAUGCAUUAAAUUAUUGAAAAAUAAUCGCACAGACCAGUGAUUUUAGGUUUGAGUCCUUAUGGCAUCUUGGUAACCUUUUUUUUUCCCCAUAAUUUUCAUGUGUGUGGAAAACCAAUUCUCUUGUAGUUUAGAUUACUGUUGGUAUUCAAAAUAAAUAAUAAAUAAAAAGCAAGAAAAUGAAGUGAAACGACAGCGUAUGAAGUUGCAAGAGAAGGUCAAUAACGUUAAAGCCCAUAUCACUUUUGCUUGUUUGGUAUUGGGAACUGCGUGCGCAGUCCGCUGUCCGCUGUCCGCUACAAAAAUCAGACAACGACCUCAUGAAGACCAAAGAAAAGCCCAAGAAGAUUAUUUUCAACAUCUUCCCCACUCGAAAACGACGACGUCACAAUGAGUGGUUCAGAUUAAAAACACCAAAGACUCACGCGUUGCAUAACACGCUUUAAUCGCAGCGAGUUGAAUUCCGCAUCGUAGCUCCGGGUGUGUUACGUGUAGAUCAAUCCGCGCGUGGGUCUAUGCAGGCAGUCGUUGUUGGUCUUUGCUAAAAAUGGCGGCGAGGUGAUAAAUCGAUUUUCCGUUGUUUCACCUUUUUACCAUACACAGUAACUCUGGCGGGAAGGGAAAGGUUGGUAAAGUUGUGGGACUCGUCUGUCAUUUUGGAAAAAAGCUGUUUUGCUCUUUUUAUUUUUAUAUUUGUUUUCUUCUUGUGGUCUGGUCCAGGUGAAAAUAGUACUCCAGGUACAGCUUGGAUCUGCUGCUCCGCACAUAUACAAGAAACUUUGAGCCUAACCAUUGAAUUGAAUGGAUCAUGUAUUACUUUCAUCUGCUUCUUUAUUUUUGACUACUUUGACUUAGCAUGAUUAGAAAAUACAAACUAAUUAUAACAGAGAGAAUAAAUAAAGCUAACUUGUCUCCACAAUUAUUGGAUAAAAGAAGAACAAAAAAUCAUGCAUGUAAUAUGUCUCUAAUGCGAGGCGAGAAUGUCGAUCCAUAGCGAUAAAAAAAAUCGAUCGAUUGCCACUCAAUACAUCCGCAACUAUUUCACAAAACUAAUUCAAUUAAAAUAAAUUCCUUCCAUGGUUACAAUUUAAGCUAGCUGCUAACGGUCCACAAUCAUAGCAGGUAAACAAUUUUUUCAAAAAAGAGAAAGAAAGUUAUGCAUGAUCUUUUUGACAGCUUUUUUUUUUUUUUGGGUGGUCCGAUUCUUUUACAACUUUAUACAUAAAAAUAAUAAUACAUAGAAUUGUAUCUAUAUCGGUAGUCACAACCUGCUGCCAUAUUUAUAAUUUAUUAUUCAAAAUAAAUGGUCUUUAUGUUAUUUUAUUUGUGCAUGAGAAAUUAAUUUCUAUCAAUUGACAAGUGUCCACUCUAUUAUUUACACCUUUCGAGACAGCUUCAGACUAAAAGUAAAUAGAUCUUAGAACCAGAGCAGUCCAGGCUUAAUUUGAUUGUGUCAUUUCAUAAAAUGACAAAAUGCUUCUUUCAAAAUUGAUUCUUAGUGGAUGAUUCCAUAGUUUUUGUAUAGAAUCGGCUACACCCGAUCCCAUUAACCUCACCUCAUUCGACUUGGUAGCCCUAAAAAUCCCUAAUUUCUCAGCCAUUGCUUUAAAGUGAUCAAUGUAGAUCGGUGCAACGUGAUUACGUCCACAAAGUUAUCGUGACUGUAUUUCUUGAAAGUGACCAAUGUACAAUGUACGUACGCACGGGGAGGCUUAUACUGAUUGUACUGAUGAUUGUACUGGUCAAAAACCAAAGUCACAAGUUGUCAUAUUUAGAAGGAGAAGACUAAUUUAUAGGUCCUGGUCGGGCAUGCAUUAUUGGAUUCACACGGACACGGCUCUGUCAAUGCAAAAUUGAAAUGCAACCCCAUCAAACUAUAAGCUCUGUCCGACACAUGUACUGUGUACACCAAACGGCUUUGUUUAAUUAACGUGGUUUAGAGCAUUUACCUUUGUAUGCGUAUGAGGUCGUAGAUUCGAUUCCCACUUUUAAUUAUCGUAUCAAACUGUUAACUGUUUUCCAAUUGAACUUCUGAAAAUGAACUUUCAAACACAAACCUUAGUUUGACUGUACUUUGUCUUUGAUACAAUACAGGCAAGUCUCUGUCCUUCGAAUGCUUUCAUUCUCUCAAAACAAUAAUAGAAUCCAUGAGACGAGAGGGGUUCAUGGGGAUUGCAAGGCUCCAAGACAUGAACAGCCUUGUCUAUGUGCAUUUGAGAAAUAAAAUCAAUUUUUUGGGUAUUUGUGUGGAAGGGAUGAGAGGGGACAUGCUUUGGUCUAGCAUGAAAACCAUGAUUUGGACAUGUCAGGAUAUGGGGGCUUAGUUUAUAUACAGCCCCAUGUGACCCCUUAGCCAAAAACCUUCCAUUUUAUCAAGUGGAAAGUGACACAACUAAAUCCCAUCUUUGCCCCACCAAUGUUUUCUUUUCUUUCUUUUUCUGUAUAUUUUUAAAUAUAUUUUUUUUUCCUUAACUGUAUAUACAAUUUGUUUGUUUUGUUUACCAGGAGCAGCAACUCAUCAGGUCCCUCGCUGAGUCACUAUGCCCCAUCCAUCUGAGUUUAGGGUACGUGCGAUUUGAAUUUGCUAGAAGGACAUGUGAUCUUUUCUUGGCACGCCUCAAUGUGUGUUUGUGAAAGAAAAUGAAAGAAACAUGGUGAAUUAAAAUAGGAGUUGUAGUUUGACUAGCUAAUCCUCAUGACCCGAAGUCUUGGAGAGAAUUCAAUCGAACCAUCUAAAUUGAUAGAUGUAUUACCCAAAGAAAAUUAUAAAAAUUGUUGUGUAUAUAGUCUUUAUUACGUGUUACUCAUGUGACGAGCCAACGAUAAAAUAAUAUAUCAUUUUAUUUGACGGCCAUAAUUAUGAAGAGCUUCUCUCUUUAUUCAAGUACAAUUGAGAAUGGUGGUGGGUGCCAUCAGCCAUGUUCUUUCCUCUACCCUCAAGGCAAGUUCAUGAGGAAAUUAAUAUUAUCACGAUUCUCCUACUUACCAAACAGAAGCAUUUGAAGGAUUAAGAAAUUAAAAAGCAAUGAAAUUACACAAAGAGUACGAAAUAAACAUGUUGUUGUGAACGUGGGCUGCUCAAGCAAUGACAGCUCCUAGCUAUGAUUUGAGGACUUGAAAGUAAAGUAUUGAUAACAAGUCUAUAAACGGGGUUUGGAGGCCAUUACUCCUCUUGUACUUUUCCUAUUCAUUUGACUCUUAAGAAUUAUUGUCCGUACUUAAAAGUCCAACCCCAUGAAAAAAAAAAUUACGUAACUUUAAUGUGGACCAAGCCAUAUAUAAUCAUUAUAAUUCAAUACACUAUAGUGUGAUACAAGAGUAUGAUGACGCGGUUUAAUUUAUUUACGUGCUAUAUAGUGAAUUUAUUAAUAUUAUACUUUAAAAGUGAGAAAUAAUAAUUAUAUUAUCCACUCAUAUUAUAACAUGUAGAUAAAUUAAAAAAGAAGAGAAAACUUCAAACGUUACAGAAGCCCAAAGUUCCAAGGCUUCCUUGGGUUUGGUUUUAAGAGCCCAUAUAUUUUCUUGGAGAACAUGUUCUGGUAAGGAGCUAGCUCAAAGAGCAAUUUACAUGAAUGUUUAAUUAAACCAUCCAAAUUAACCUCCAUGAAUGAUGAUGUAUAACCACAUAAGUAAUUCAUAUCUUUUGUUCAAUCCUAUAUACCCUCUUUACUUUAUAAGCACCCUUACGUGUUACUCAGUAAUUAGAGAAUCUCUAACUGAUUCGACAACCUUUAUUAAGCUACUUCUGUUAGAGAUGCUCUAAUUUUUUAAACUAAAAAGUAAAGAGCUUUUGUUUGCAAUACAGAUAACUUUAUUUAGCUUUUUGAAGAUGUAAAACUUUAUGACUUUAAUUGCAAGUUAUAAAAACUUCUUCCAUGCAACUUAAAGCUGAAAAAAAAUUUCAAUUACAAAACUGGGUGUGGACAAGUCCCAAUGUUUAGAAAAUUAAGGUUAUUAGCUAUACAUAGGUCAUAUAUUACUGUCUUUUUGUACACUUUAUUGAAUGAUAAGUCAUUAAGGUUAGGUGUUUGUCUGGUGGCCAUGAUUAAAAAGCAAAUGAUCACAAGUCAUUGCAAUCUAAUUCAUUUGCAUAUAGAAUUGUAAAGUGGUUAAGCUAGCAGACAAGGUUUGCUUUUGGCUUGAUUUUCUUGUUUGCUUAGGGUCCAUUGUGCCUCUAUCUCCUCCUCCUCUUUCAUUGUCUUAGCUUAAGCUAAAUGGUGGCUGCAAGCUAUCAAAAGAAGUGCGAAGACCAUGUGUUUCCCUCUAAAAAAAGAAAAUUAUCUUGUUUCAAUUCAAGUCCCUCUCACUGAAACAAAAGUUUCCGGAUGAUGAUUUGGUCAUCUAGAAAAAAAAAAUCAUAUUAUUAUGAGCUACCUCGUUAAAUAGUAUAUAAUAUUUUGAAUAUAAUUGAUGUUUGGUUUUGAUUUUGAAAGUUGUAUGGUUGUUUUUUUGUUUUUGAAAGAAAGCGAUGAAUUAUAUUAAAGCAAAAUCACAAUUAUUUAAGAUCACUUAACAAAACAUCUUGAAUGAUAUUGGGAGGAUCCCCACAUCAACAAAAUAAGUCUGAUCAAGAUAAAGCAUAACAAGCACGUCUAUGAGCUACUUGAUUAGUUUCACGAAAAACAUGAACAAUCUGGCACAUGAGCCAAAAGAAUUAUGCAAUCUUCAAUAAUUUAUAUUUUUUUCGUGCUAUGUUCAAUCAACUAUAUAUUAUAUAUGUUAUGAUUCAAGAUGAUAAUAGAGAGCUUGAUGGCUGCAUUUGACCUUUGUUGCAGGCCGAUCAACGCAAUGAAGUGUUGAGCAAGGUGUUUGACAUAAAAAAAACCAAUUGAAUUGAUAUCCUAAGUCAAAAAUGACUCUGCCCCUCCCCAAAGAAUCGGUGGAUUACAUUGAGAUGAGAUAAGGUCAAAAUCCUUUACAAAAUAUUUAAAAUUCAAGCUUGAAAUAUGAGAAAUGUUACAUCUGGGCAGCCCAAAGGCCCAAAGGCCCAAAGAAAGUUGAAUUUGGGCUGAAGUGUUUUCAAUAACAAAAUCAAGAAAAACUGAAGGACCCAUCAAUUUUUUCAAUUUUUUUUUUCUUUUUAAGGGGUAAAUUUGAUACUCUAAAUUUUACUAAGUGGGGAAAGAUACUUGUGUUGAGUGCAAAUAAAAGUACCUUUUAAAAGAGCUUUUUUUUAGGUUACAUACAGUUUAUUGGAUAAAAUUGAACUAAAAAUGUGGAUAAAUCGAAUUUAAUUUUUUUUCGAUUUAACCAAUUUUUUCAUGAACAAUCCAGAAGAAAAAAAAACUUAAAACUUAAAUAUUUUACAGCUCAAAAAUAAGAUUUCCUUAUGUUUGUUAAAUAAGUAUAUCCGAUCAUUAGCAAUUUAAACAAAAGAUAUUUUAACAAGAAGUGGAAUUAGUAUGCACUUCUUUUCUAAGCAAUUUGAUAAUGAGGAAUCGUAGAGGCAUAUUCUAAGUUGUUAUGAUACUGUACUUCGCAUUUUAUUAACAGCGGUGCAGGACCCAUCUGAUCAACCGUUAGUUUCCAUCAAGAAAACAAUCUUCUAAUCCAACGGUCCCAAUUAAGGUAGCGGAGGACCCAUCAGCAAAGACUGUUUCAUUUUUCUUCGGUAACCAUCUCCAACACGGUUUCUCAACCAAUCAGAGUGAGCUGUGAGCAACGAAACAUACCUUCUAGGUGGGGCCUGUUUGUUUGGGGCGCAAUCAUAAACUUCGGCCACGUAUGCAUUAAUUAUGAGCGGAUAAAGAAACCUUCUUUUUCUAAAACAUCCAAUUCGUUUUAGAAAUUAUAGAAAUUAUUAAAUUAAUAGAUAAAUAUCAUAAAUUAUAUAAUAUAAUUAAUAUAUAAAUAGGAAAAACCCAAAGCAAAGCCACCACUGUAUUAUCAUCGUCAACCAAACCAAACCAAACCAAACCAAGCUCACGGGAUUUCGUGGACUUUCUGAUCAAGAAGCUCUCUUUUUGCUUUCUGGGUUCGUCUUCAGACUUCACGAGGUUCGAUUUUCAUCUACUAUUUCGUAUUAACUCCCUUUCAUUUUUGUACCCUGUUAAUAUAAUCUGUUGAUAAUAACCCAGUAGUCUUUUGAUGUCAGAAUUGACUUCUGAUUGUCUUUCUGUGUGUCAAAAUCUGAGUUUUAGAUGGUGAAUUUCAUGGGGGUUUGAUUUUCAGUAAUAUUUUGUGUUUUUUUCUUUUUAAUUUCAAUAUUUUAUAAUCCAUCUGAUCAAGGGUGUUAAUUAAGAGAUAAAGAAGAUGUUGUUUACUUUUAACUUGUGUAAUUGAACUGAAUUGCUUUUGAUUUUUACUUUUUGCUUCUGUUGUAUGCUAAUUUCAGGCAGCAUGGCAAAGAGUUACUUCAAGCAAGAACAUGAUCUUGGUAUGUAGUAUUUUUCAGCCCAAAGAGUUGUUUUUAUUACCUUGUCGAGUUUAUUUAAUAAAGGAACGUUAGUCAAAGAAUUUUGAUGUUUAUGGUUUGUAUUAUUUUCAGAGAAGAGACGGGCAGAGGCUGCUAGGAUCAGAGAGAAAUACCCAGAUAGAAUUCCAGUAAGAAUUUGAAAUCCAAACUCAGUUAUCCAUUUUCAAUUACUGCCCAUGAUGUGAAAUACUUACACAUGAUUUUUAUGUAGGAAAUUAUUUGAAUGGUUCUGUAUUAUUUGUCUCUGGCACUAAAUUUGCGUAAAUUAUUAUGCUUGUCUGUUUUAAUGAGAUUGUAUCAGCUAAUAGAGAAGUUGAUUUCAGAUGUGUUAAUAGUUUCCACAAGCAUGCAUUCUUUUUUGGAUUUCUUACCCAUGUGUGUAAAAUCUUCAUUUUAUGAUUUGAAGGUGAUUGUGGAGAAGGCAGAAAGAAGUGAUAUCCCAAACAUUGAUAAGAAAAAGUAAGCUUUACUUUCUCUCUUGAUCCCUGAUAUAUAACAUUGCUGCUUGUUGAUUCCAUUUUUCUUGUUUUUCUUAGUUCAAUUUCUAGCAAAGUUUACAUCUUUCCAAUUUAGGACCAAAGUUUAACUGGCCCUCUCUUUUCUCAUCUAAUUCUUCCAAAGCCUUAAGUUGGAUGUUCUUUAUUUGUUAUGUUUAAUAUAUCGUUAUUGGUAAAAUGGCGAAAAUUUGGUUAUGUUUGAUUGCCUCUCUAUGAUAUUUCAACAACAUCCGUUGCUUUUUGACUGUUUCUUUGACUAUAAACGGAAUCUGAAAAUUACAGGUACCUUGUCCCAGCUGACCUAACUGUUGGACAAUUCGUUUAUGUUAUCCGCAAAAGGAUUAAGUUGAGUGCAGAGAAGGCUAUCUUUAUAUUUGUGGACAAUGUACUCCCACCCACAGGUAAAUUCUUGUGAAAUUGUCUUUUAGAGGAUGGUGCCUUCUGCUUGGCCUUUUGAUUGAACAUGUCCCAUCUAUAAUGUCUUCUGUCUUUUGCAGGUGCAAUCAUGUCUGCCAUAUAUGAAGAGAAGAAGGAUGAAGAUGGGUUUCUCUACGUCACUUACAGUGGUGAGAACACUUUUGGUUAUCAGGUUCCGCUGUAGCCCUCGAUUAGUUGGAUACCCGCCAUCUUUCUUCCAGUCCCAGCAUACCUGAUUUUAUCGCUUCAUCUUCAUUACCUUGUUCUGAAUCCGAUGCUGCUUUUAUCAUGCCUAGUUCAUAAACACCUCUGUGGUGAUAAUGUGUAUAGUCACAUAUUGUAUAUAAUUUCUAAGCUCCGGUUUAACAUUAAAGUUUCUUGCUUGUUGCUAUUCAUAAUCAUUCAAUGAAGCUACCGGUUUAUUGCCAGUUUUGGCUGGGUCAUGGUUAUGGGAAGCUGUGACUUUGACCAAAGUUUUAAUGCAAACCUUUCUUCGUGUUGCAUCUUUUGACAUGCCACAAUGCAUACUAAUGUGCCUUAUGACAUAACGUUUGCUGCCUAGAACAUCAAUCUCUGCAUAUUUUCGGGUGCCUUCACCGGCACUCACUGCCAGUUAAUUGCUAGGAAGAAUUGUCUAGACGGCCAUGAAAAAGAAAUAGAAAUAGAGAGGAAAACAGAGUGAUUUUCCCCCAUUUCAACGCUUACAUUUAAAGCUCUAUCUCUUUCCGUCUCUCUCUCUCUCUCUCUCUCUCUCUCUCUCUCUCUCUCUAAGUUCAACGCCCAAAGAUAAAGACACUGAUUAUUAAAAGGGGGCGCAAAAGCCAUAAAUGGGAGAGAUUGAGCUGUGUAUUUGUCAUGGGCCGGAUUAAUUUUCUUUGGGUCUAAGUGUCAUGGGAGAUUGAUCAAACCCAAGCCUUGUACGCAACUUCUGUUGUUAAUCUAAUGAAGCUUUGGUUGGCUAAGAACUUUUAUACUUCUAUACGUCUAUAUGCUAUGCUAAGAGCACUUCCACUCCUAUGGGCAAGGGCUGUCACUAUUCACGUGAAUAGUGGCAUUCCUUGCAAUUUUGUUUUCACCCUUAGAGCAAUUCCACUCAUUUGCCAUGACAAAGGACAAAGGAAAGGCAAGAGCUAUUACUAUUUACGUAAAUAGUGGCAGCCCUUACAUGGCUUGUGGUGUUUCCACCCAUUGCCAUGACAACCACUAUUCACAUGAGAUAUGAGGAGUAAUGGAUCAAAGCAAAGGAUAGCUUUUUAGCUGCGAGCGGAUGAGCGAGAAAUGGAAGUGCCUUGUUAAGCGACUCCUUCCUGCCCCUUACCCCUUGGUGUAAAUAAGAGUUUUUGGUGUGGGAAGUGAAUAAUAUGACAAAGUAUUUAUUUAAAAAAAAUUAAAAAAAUUCUGAAAAUUCUAGUAUUUUUUUAUAUUAUUUAUUGUUUUUUUAUAUAAAAAAUUCGUUGCUGAUGUCAUCGCUGACGUCAGCAAACCCAAGCAAUAGCCUAGGCUGUUUUUGCCUUUGGGCUAGCUUGAUUUGCUGGGACCCAGCUGCUGCCCGGGCAGCUUAGGCCCACUGGAAUGCCAACCUACGAUUUGGGCUCCCUUUUGCCCUGGCAAAGGCAACCGCUGGAGUUUAUGGGCUAGGGUAAGGGCAAUUAUUACUCACAUGAGAUAUGAGGAGAUGAAUUUGUAUAGAGUUUUUAGUGUGGGAAGUAAAGAAUAUGGCUAGGUAUUUAUUUUUAAAAAAUUCAAAUUUUUUGGUAUUUUUUUCCUUUUUUUUUCUUUAGUUGCUGACGUCAGCAUCAUGUCAUUUUGCCCAAGCAGCAGCUCAGGCUGAACUUUCCAGUGGGCUUGCCCAGGUUGCUGGGGGCCCAUUGUUUGCCCAGACUGGAACUCUUGCGCUGGAGUUGCCUUUGGGUGCUUGGGCCCCUUCUUGUCAAGGCUCCCCCUCAGUGGUGGAAAUGCUCUAAGAGCAGAUAACUUGUAGAUAUUAUAUGUUUUUCUUUUUCUAGACACAAUUUAUUAAUUGUUCGUUGGACUUGAGCUUCUGCUAGUUAAACUUGGAGAUGACUUGUAGGUAUGAAAUUGUACUUUCCUAAACAGACUUUCUUAAUUGUUCAUUAAACUUUUGAAACAAGCUAAAUUUGUUACAAGCCAAGGGAAAAACUUUGAGAACUUAAGAUACUUGUCAAAAGAAAAAGCUUGACUCCUUAAAAUUGGGGAGAAACACCUCCUUAAAACAAAUGGGAUUCUGAGACUAGUCAAUUUUAUUUAUUUUGAAAUUCUUUUAACUUUCUUUGUUUUGGAAUUUGAGAAGUGUCAAAAUCUCAGGAUGAGCUCCUUCUUUUUUGUUUUUUUUGUUUUUUGUUUUGAGGAUAUUUCCUAUUGAGAGGGGUGAUUACAAGGAUGCUAGGACUCGAACCCAAGACCUUUCCUUUUAUUGGGGAGGGGGGAGGGGGGGGGGGAAGCAAUUUCUCCAAACCACUACAUUAGUAGGUCCUUUUACGAGGAGCUCCUCCUUAGUUUUAAAGAGACAAACUUUAUCGUUUUGCUUGUGUAGAUCGAUUUUUCUUUGAGAAAUAACUUUGUCAAAUGGGUUAUGCCUUGUUUGUGCUCAAAACUAGAUGAACAAAAGUGGGCCCAAACUUAAAGAUAUGAUGUGGUGUGAUCUGCCUUCAGUAAGAGCUUCCCUUCGGUAGGCUGAAGGUUAUCUGCAAGGAGAGAAAUGGAAGAACAAGGAGUGAGACCUAAGGCACAGGUAUGAUAUCGACCGAAGGCCCUUCAAUACUAAAGUUAGUUGAAGGAGAUAUGAGUUCGUUAUAGACAAGGCAAUGUCAUAAGUGUCAAGUAACUAUUACCUUGUGCCCUAGGGGCAAUGGGCUUUAUUUAUAGAGGUUUUGGGUGUCCUCUUGGCGUAAACUUUCGAUGUGGGACUCAUGGGAAUAGCUUGGGGGGCUGCCAUAUGUCCUAUAGAGUAUACCAAUAAGGAACCCAAUAGAUUCUUGCAAGAUACAUUUUGGGAGGUUAAAUCGGCAGGGGGUGACGAGUGCACUUGCCGACUAUCAAUUGUGAGCCUGCGAGACUGGGUUGGCCAGUGUAGAAUCGGUAAGACACCCACCGCUCAUAAGGCUGGGUUGGCCAGCUUGAGCUUCUGAACCCUGUUUGGUGUUAGGUUCCUUCCACGUGUCAUGGCAUGAGAGGCUGGUCAUAUUUGAUACAAACAUGCAUGAUAUGAGCCAAGCAUAGCACACAAAGAAUGCUAGAACAAGUAAUCAAACGUCACAUGAGCAAUUGUUAAUGAAAGAUAAGGUUAGUAAUUCAACGUCACGUGAAUAAUUGUUAACCGUUGACAAUAUGAGCUACAAAUUAUGUUGUGACAAACAUAAAUAAUAUUUCAAUAUAUUUCUGUAACAUAUGUUAUUCUUAUUCAAUAAUAUGUGAGAAUUAUUUGUAUAAUACAUGAAUUUUGUGUGUCUUACUGAAAAUUUUGAAAAAAAUACGUGUAUUAAAUGUUAGAAAUACUUACGUACAUGUACAAUACGACUAUUGUACAAUUACUUUUUAAAAAAAGUGAGACGUGUAUAGAACACUAAUGUAUUAUUGAAAAAUAUAUAUAUAUAUAUAUAUGUAAAAGCCUAUAGCCGCUUGUCUAUACUAUUUAUGAAAGACAAUUUUUUUUAAAAACGUAACGCCGCAUGGCUAUACUAUUUUUGAAAAAAAUUAAAAAAUCUCGUAUAGCCGCACGGCUAUACUGUUAAAAUAAAAUAAAAUUAGUGUAGCCUCCUAGCUAUACUAUUUUUUAAUAUGAAAAGUGGACCCCUGCGAUAGGCGCCACGUGUCAACAGAAGUCUAUUUUAAAAAAAAAAUUAAAAACAUAGAGUAUAGCCGUGCAGUUGCACUAUUUUAAAAAAAAAAAAAACCGCUCUAGCCAUAAGGCACCACGUGUCAAAAAUAAGUAUCGCAGCCCGGUUAUACUAUUUUUUUAAAUACAAAAUCAUAGUAUAGCUGCAGGGCGAUACUAUUUAAAUACAUUAUAUUUAAAAGGUAAAGCCGACCGGCUAUACUAUUUAAUAAUUUUUAUUUUUAUUUUAAAAAGGACCUUCCUAUUUGCAUUAGUUUGUACUUUAUAGAUCUUAAUUUGCUAGUUUCAACAUAUCCGAAGUAGAUAUUAAUCUUCCACUAUAUAAUAUUUCAAUAUAUUUUUUUUUUAUAACCUAUGUUAUUCUUAUUCAAUAAUAUGUGAGAAUUAUUUGUAUAAUACAUGAAUUUUGUGUGUCUUACUGAAAAUUUUGUAAAAAAUACAUGUAGUAAAUGUUAGAAAUAUGUACGUACAUGUACAAUACAAAAUAUUGUACGUUUGCUUUUUAAAAAAAUGUGAGACGUGUGUAGAACACUAAUGUAUUAUUGAAAAAUAUAUGUGUAUAUAUAUGUAAAAGUCUAUAGCCACUCGUCUAUCCUAUUUAUAAAAGACAAUUUUAAAAUUAUUAUAUAUAAAAAAAAAACCUGCAAAGCCGUACGGCUAUACGAUUUUUGGAAAAAAAAUAAAAAAUCGUGUAUAGCCGCUCGGCUAUACUCUGAAGACCGCAAAGGCACCCACGUGUAAAAUAGUACAGCCGCCCGGCGAUACUGUUUUAAAAAAUAUUUAAAAAAUGAGUAUAGCCGAUUGACGAUACUAUUUUUUAAUUUAACACUCCCAGCGAUAGGCGCCACGUGUCAACAGAAGUCUAUAUAAAAAAAAUAAAAAUAAAAACAUGGAGUAUAGCCAUGCGGCUGUACGAUUUUUUUAAAAUUAUAUAAAAAGAAUACCCUCUAGCCAUAAGGUGCCACGUGUCAAAAAUAAAGUAUAGCCGGGCGCGGCUAUACUAUGUUUUUAAUAAAAAAUCGUAGUAUAACCGCCCCGCGAGAAUAUUUAAAUACAAUAUAUUUAAAGGUAAAGCCGCUCGGCUAUACGAUUUAAUAAAAUAAAAAAAAAGGAAAACUGAAAAAAGGACCUUCCUACUUGUAAUUUAUAGAUCUUAAUUUGCUAGUUUCAACAUAUCCAAAGUAAAUAUUAAUCUUCUACUAUAUAAUAUUUCAAUAUAUUAUUCUUAUUCAAUAAUAUGUGAGAAUUAUUUGUAUAAUACGUGAAUUUUGUGUGUCUUAUUAAAAUUUUUGUAAAAAAUACGUGUGUUAAAUGUUAGAAAUACAUACGUGCAUGUACAAUACGACUAUUGUCUAUUUGCUUUUAAAAAAAAACGUGAGACGUAUAUAAAACAUUGAUGUAUUAUUGAAAAAUAUAUGUGUAUAUAUAUGUAAAAGCCUAUAGCCGCUCAUCUAUAUUAUUUAUGAAAGACAAUUUUAAAAUAAAUAAAUAAACUAGUAAAGCCACACGGCUAUACAAAUUUUGAAAAAAAAUAAAUAAAUCGGGUAUAGCCGCCUGGCUUUACUACAGAGCGCAAAGGCACCCAUGUGUAAAAUAGGAUAGCCGCGCGGCUACACUGUUUUUAAAAAAAUAAACAAAAUGAGUAUAGCUGCAUAGCUAUACUCUUUUUUAAAUAUAAAAAAGUGGUUCCCUAGCGAUAGGCACCACGUGUCAACAGAAGUCUAUUUUGAAAAAAAAUAAAAACAUGGAGUAUAGCCGUGCGGCUGUACUAUUUUAAAAAGAAUACCGUCUUGCCAUUAGGUGUCACGUAUCAAAAAUAAAUAUAGCCGCCCGAUGAUACUACGAAUGAAUUGGUCUCGUACAUGUUCAUGGUAGGCUGACCCACAGGUUUUAAAAUGGCCUAGGCCCAAUAGCUGUUAAACUGAAAAAACAAAACAAUCCAAACUAUUUGGCCAAGGCGGGGGUGAUGUGGCGGGAAAAGCAAGUGUGAGGCACAUGGAGUACAUGCCACGUAGAGUGCAUACUAAAUACCGACGCUGGUGGGGAAUGGUGGACCUUUCCGUGUCCACAAAGGAGCUGCAUUUGACGGUCUGGCCAUGCUCCUUUGUCUCCUCAUCCCAUGUCCCUACCUCCCACUACAUUCUUGGACACUUAUGGGUCCUUUCAAUUUCUUCCAAACUUCAUUUACAACUUCAUACAAUCUCUUACCCAAGUCAAUUUCACUCAUUUAACUUAACUAGUUACAAUAACUUGUGUUUUAUCUGUGUGAUUAAUGGCGCAUACGUGAAUUAGGUCAGUUGGAUAAUACAAUGUACUCAUCUUUCUACACUCGAAUUCGAAUAAUUUUUUAUAUAAUUAAAAUUGACUGAAAUCAGACAUCUUAAAAUCACUAGAGUAAAGAUAUGUUAGCUAUGGUAAAAAGUAGAAAGCCAUAAUGUAAUAAUACUUUUUCACACAAAAACAUGGAAUGGGGGAUCCUUCAGAAAUACAUGGGUUGGAGACCAAAUUUACUCAAAUCUUCACCUCGCCAAAAAAUUCUUAUAAAUCAUCUGGUGAUGCUACAUGUAUGAUAUUUACUUAUGAUGAAUACUUCUCUAAUAAGAGUAAAAUUCACAUAUACAAGUGGAUCUCACAUUUAUCAGAAAUGUAAUUCGUAAGUGUAAUACGCCUAUACAUAUUUACGUUAAUUUUGGAGUUAACUCACUUUCCUCCCUCUCUCAAUAUCUAUUCCCAUGCAUUAUGUCUACUAGAUACGUAGCUCAUAUAAUGGUUUUCAGCUUCUUAGGGCCCUCCAAUUGAUUAAAAAGUGAGAGAUGAAGGGAAAAGGGGACAAGGGGAGCCCCCAAUAUCUCAAGUUUGGUUUUACAGGUUCAUCACCCAAACACCUGCAUGUUCUCUUUAAGAACGGUUAUAGUCCCAUACACAACCUGCAUUUAUUGCUCUUCCUUCCCCUCUCACUACAAAUACUCUGCAAAACCUAACACUUAACCCACUCACAUAUACAAGACUUUCAGUUAUUUCCAUUACAUAUUCUCAUCGUCUGUGUGUGACUUUAAGUCUUCAAAUCCUUCAGAUCAUAAUCUCCAAUUUCUUUUGUCUCUCUCAUAAUAUGUCUUCCAUUGUUCUUCUCUUUUUUCUUUGUCUUUCUAUCCAUGCAUGCAAUUCCCGACUUCUAGGCCUUGUUGAUAAGCAAAGUGGCAGUAAAUCCUACCAUUCUGUUGAGGUGGGUGCAAAUAUUUCAACAUCUGAUUAAAUUCUUGUACAUAAUAUUUUGAGAAGUUCUGCCAUGGAGUUUUAAUUCCAUCAUGUGGUGCACACAUGCCUUAUUUAUUGUUAUUUAACCAAAAAAAAUUGGUCAUCAUAGUACCUUGUUGAAUUGUUAGAACUGCAUGCGAUAAUCUGGAGUACUUAAUUGUUUCCCAUCACCGGUUGAAAGCAAACCAUGUGUCUCAUCACAUGACCCUAUCACGUGCUGACAAAGAUAGACACAUACAACGUGCGAAACAUAUGAAAGAAAUCUAAUAACUUAAGUGAUUAUUAGUUUUAACUUAUUGAAGCGGCCUAAUUAUUUUAGGGUUGGUGCAGGAUGUAGCGAAAGUCUUAAGUGAGACUUUAAAGUCAUCGAUGAUGCCUACCAUCUCAGUUGAAUACCAAGCACAACAAAUAAACGCUGAAACAUUCACCCAUGAAAGUAUCCCGACGGCUCUUUUGAGGAAACAAGGGCAUGCCAAUGGACCAGCCUCAGGUUCUUAUAAAUCUUCGAAUCAAUUAGGUCAUUAUUUUUUGGUUUUGUAUAUAUAUUCUUGUUGAUGAUGAAGAUAUGCAUGGUGGUGUGCAGGAUAUGAUAUUAUUGCAUUAUCUUCCCAGGUUGAGCUGAAGAAAUUGAUUGAAAUGCAGGUAUAUAAGUUACUGGGUGCAAUUUAGUAUUUUUAUUAGAUUGUUUUGAAUGAUCUCUGUUACACUGGUGGUGCAAGUGGCCAUAUCUACUGUAACCAUGUCCCCUGUGAGGAAAUCAGGGCAUGUGGUCUGCUCAUGCAUGCACUGUACAUAUAGCCGUUUGUGAGAUACAUGAUACAUACAUAUAAUAGGGCUGAGAAAAAAAAAGGUGUGUAAAACCUAAUUAUGUUAUGAGUCUUAUGUUUAUGAGCUAGAUUGUGAAUCUGAUUCACAUAUUAAUAUGCUAAGAGAACUUAAUCGAUGAAUCAGAUCGAUUCAGUAUUUGCAAUUGUCAUGACUCGUGAUAAGAUAAUCUUUACAUAUAUGUAUCUAUAUCAAUUAUAUUUUGCAUGGAAAUUAUUGCAUAUGAAUAUUGAUGCUGUAUGAUUUUAGGGAUUGAAGAGGCAGGCACGGACAUUACUGGGAUCUGCAACACAUAACAUGGAGGAAGACAAAGAUUCGAAGGAAGAUGAAGCUAUUGAGGUCGUAGGUGUUAUGGAUUAUGCACAACCUCACAGGAAGCCACCCAUUCACAAUAGAAAGUCCUAGACAUAUCCGGAUUUUCUGCUUCUGGUGGAAUUUACUUCAUUUCUAGCUAGCUAGCACUUAAAGAAAAAUUAUAUAGUGAUUUGUCCUUGGUUGGUGGGAAAGGUGUUUGUAAUUUACCUGGUCUAUAGAAGAAAAAUAAAUAUAAAUAAAAACUCUCUUGCAAAACCUUGGAAAAGAAGAAGAAGAAGAAGAAAAAAGAAAGAUUCUGUCCUCGUGAUUGAUACAGAACACGUGUUUUCCUUUGCUGCAACAGUGACAAGUCCAGUAGUGACAAAAUGGUGAUUUGAUGGAUGAUGGCUCCUCUUUUUUAUUGUUUCUAUGUGUGUUUUUAGGUUGACGGAAUAAUAAAGGAUUGUAAUCUAAGUGAAACAUAUUACAUGGAUGUGUCGCAUGGAAACCUUCUUGCUUGUGUUGUCAUUGUCAUCCAUUUGGGUGGUAUUUCCAAGUUUCUCCAUUUCGAGUGAUUGGUCUAGUCAAAUAAGCUGCACGUUAGAGCAACUCCACCCAUUUGCCCUUAGCCAUGGCAAGGGGGGAGCUAGGGCAGCCACUAUUCACGUGAAUAGUGGUUGCCCUUGCAAAUAGUAUUUUGAGUUUCCACCCAUUGCCAUGGCUAAGGGCAAUUACUAUUCAUUUUUUUGUUUUUUCACAACUUUUUUUUACUUAAAUAAUUAAUUUGGAUAAUAUUUUCGGAUAAGAUUUUUGGGUUCCUACGUGUCAAUACUAUUCAUAUCGGAUAAGAUUUUAUUUUAUUAGUUGUAUUGGUUGGUAUUCAUUUAAAAAAAAAAAUUAGGAUUUGGUGUUAAAAGUGAAGAGUAUUGGUUGGUAUUUAUAGACACGGGCGGACCCAUAAUUUUUUUAGCGGAGGUGCAAUAUUGGCUAAGUAUGAAAAAUGGUUUUUCGGAAUAAUUAUUUUCUCAAGAUAAUUUUUGGCGGCUUUUAUUCCUUACACAUCAAAUAAGAAAACUUGAUUUUAUGGGAUUUUAAUAUGAAGUAUAUAUUGACUUAAUGAGCCAUCAUUUUUAGCCUAAAUCGUAUUUUGCACUAAAACCGAUUUUUCAUAUUUUGAUUUGGUGGGAAUUUGAUUUUCUAGUAUUUUUAUUUGAAUCCAAAUGGGGGGUACUUCCUUAUUUACAUUGUAAACUUAAGUAAAUGGAGUAAUAUAAAAAUAAAUUAAAGUAAAAGGACAAAGACAUUUACUUAAAUGUUGAAAAUGGAAAUAAGGUAUAGAGGAAAAUGUUGAGUAAAGAGUGAAUAAUAGUAGAAGUAUAAUGAAAUGUAUGAGGAUUGGUGUUGAAAGUGAAGGGUAUUGAUAGGUAUUUAUAGAAAAAAAAUAUCAGAAUUUUUUAAAAACAUUUACGAUUUUUUUCAUAUUUUUAUUGCCCAAAAAAGCCUCAGCCGUUGGAUUAAUUUGGAGAAGCAGAUCGGAAGGCUGGGGAGGCGACACGUGGCAGCGUACCUUGGACCUGGCGCGCUGACGUCAGCGUGACGCGAGGCUGACGUCAGCAACACGCGAGUUGGACCUCGGGCUGGUCUCGCCUUCGGGCUGGCCCGAGUUGGUGGGUCCCACACCACCCCCGGGCCUGGGCUGUACGCUGGAGCGACUUUUUUUUUUUUUCCUGCCCUCGCCUCGGGCUGGGCUCCCUCGCUGGAGCUGCUCUUAAAAAGACCAGGAAGGUGCAUCCAAAAUAAUCACGUUCAAUUAGUUGGUUGCUAAGGCUUGCUGCUUUUCUGUCGGGGACCAAAUUAUACUAGGUUCAGUUACGCAUGUACAAAUGAGUGAUUUUGAGUUAAAUUAUGAUAGAUUCAAUCGCGCAUGUACAAAUGAGUGAUUUUGAGUUGUUAAUGUGCUUACGAGUGAUUUUAAGUUGUUAAUGCAUUGUGAGGUCCACAUGCAUCAAUAGUUGACGCUAACCUUCCUCCUCUGAAAGUAUAUAGCUACCUACUUUCUAAUUAACCACACUUCAGAGACGGAUAUGUUUCACAAAUUGUUGACACCAUGCCCCCACUUUACAAUGAAUUCCACAUUCCAUUUUGGUGACUUAGAAAUGGUAGGGAAAUAAGUAAAACAAAAUAGCCAAAUUAUAUGUUUGCCCAUGUUCGGUAUCUAAGAAAGCAGUAGCAAUUCACAAAAUCUUCCAUAUAGGGGCUGAGUUUCACAAGCUGGCAAGAAACCAGCACAUGCUCUAUACACAAACUACAGUGGUUGGUUAUGGGCCACAACGUUUUGAAAUGAAUCGAUCUUUGGUGCGAGUAAAAGCUACAUGAUAGUAACUAGAUAUUUAUGUCUGGUAGCACAAAUAUUCAACCAAAAAUAAGCUAAUCAAGAUUCAAGAUUGGCAGGACCAGCGGUUCAAUAUGCGCUCUUGUUUGAUGAAGUAUUCUUUUAUAAAUUUGGAUUGUGGUUUCUUUAGAUUAAUCAAGUACUGCUGCAGCUGACAAUAAAAGGUUUAACGAAGUUUAUAAAUUCAGAGGUUCUGAUGCCCAGCUUCAGAUCGAUCUCGCCACCCCCCAACCAGAAGAAAUCAGGACUAAGUUUCUGAAUUGCUUCAUCCAAGAUCACCUGAAAGUGAAACCAACCCAUACAUCAUCACAUUAAGAAGAGCAAAAUCUGUCUACACACAUAUGCAAAUUCAUCUAAUCUUAUGCUUACUAAAAUUUAGUGUGAAAGUGCUAGGUUGUGGUCAUCACAGACAAUAACUACAAUGUCAUUUCAUAAUGUUUUGUGAUUUCUAGUUUAUGAUACAUCAUAUGACCCAUGAUAGGAAAAUGAGUAUCCACUGUUCAAGCAUUUUCUAAGUACUUCAGACAUUAUAAUACACUCCCUACACUAAUGCAUGUGCAAACACACGCAAAAGAGUGUUUGCUGUCUAACAAACCUAGCUAAAUAAUCUACCUCUCAAAAUAAAUACCUUCUUUUGGAAGAUGUGGCAGACUGGCAGACACUCGUUAAUCAAAUACAACCAAUACAAUGGACCACCAUUUGACAACCCAAAACUUGACACUCUCGGACUAAUAGACAGUUGAUAUCUGAAAAGUGGACCAGCUCAACAGCUGGUAUGAAGGUUGGCAUGACUGAACUUAUAAACAGGGUUCCUGGCAAUUGAACCUCGGGUCCUUCUGUGCUGGAGCUUAUCAUGAAAGGGAACUGAAGUAGUUUGUCUCAAGAACACAGGACAGCACAGGUGUAGCUUAUAGUUGUAGGGAGGUAAUGUUUACAGUUGUUGUAUAAGCUUAUGAAACCUUGAGAGCAUGUUACAGAAAGUUUAAAAGAAAUGGACCACAAUUUAGAUACAGUUUCCAUCCUAGUUUCAUCUAAUCAAUCACAUCAGACUUCUGAGCAAUCAGUUAAUUGGUUUUACAAUUUUCAAGGGACAGAUGCAAAGGCAAAGGAUCUUGAGUGACAAGUCAAGCAAAAAUAAUUCUGGUACCACGAGACCACAAAAAACAAUUCCAACUCCAAAGGGCAACAAAUACGUAGUAAAUAGAUGAAAGAAACAAGUGUUCACCGGAAUGCCUGUUUUCAUGCCAACACAUGUAACUCCGUUGUGCUCAAAUCCAGUCAAUUCUACUGAAGUUUCCUCAGGUGCAAGCCUCACUGCAUAAUCAAAUAACAAACAUUAUCACCUUCUGAAAUACAAUAAGAAAAAUUUAAUGUAAACCUUGAAGAUAUAAACAUAUUAAAAAACUCAUAACGGAGAACUGAAAGAAAAUCCAACAAUGCAGCAUAUUUUGGAACACUUUUUUUUUCUCUUGCAGAGAACUUUUGAACACUUCCACGGUAUAUACUUAGAAAUACAAAACGACGGUUUAUGAUAAAACAACAGGAGUAAUACAAAAGAAACAUAGACUGGAAUUGGACAGUCCUCUUUUUUUUUUCUUCCUCAACUGUCCGACGAGGCAGGAAAGGGUUAAGAAUGAAUAUGUUAUACAAUAACAUUGGAACAUGUCUCUAUGGAUUUAAAGGAGAAGGCUCACACAAAAAUUAUUAGUAUUUUUAUUUGCACACGUACAAAAUCCUGGAAGGCAUUUUCUUGGAGUUCCCAAGAAGAACCAUGUGAAAAGAGUGGGACCAACUUCCCCUGAGAGUGAAGGAAGAAAUGGGUGGAAUCUGAGAAGAUAGGAAUAAAGCCGUAUCAAAAACAGUUUGCCUAGGAAGGCUGGCAUUGAAGGAACUUUUGUAAUACUUCUACAGUGGAUGUGAAAAAGAGGGAUGACCAUAGGAAUAAAACAGGAUUAAUACUGAAGUACCAUAGCAUGGACGUGGAGCAAAUUUUUUGUUGUUUUAAAUCAACUGCCCACUAAAGCAAAAAUGCAUUAAGAAAAAAUGUUAUCUGAUAACAUUGGAACACAUCUCCAUGGGUUUAAGGAGAAGGUUCAAGCAGAAAGGAUAGUUUGAUCUACGCACGGAUAAAAGUCUGGAAACCAUUUUGUUGGAAGAUUAGGUUCCCAAGAAGAUCUAUGUGCAAAGAGUUGGACCAACUUUCUUUGAGAGAGUGAGAAAAAAAAAAAAGGAGGAAUCUAAGAGGAUCACGAAUAAAGCCAUCAAAAAAACAGUUGGACUAGAAAAGCCAACAUUGCAGACAUUUUCUGAAUAAUUAUACAGUGGAUAUAAAAAUGAUUACAGAAUAAACAGAAGGAAUAGAAAAGAAACAUAAAAUGGAGUUUGAAUAACAUUUUUUCCCGUCAGCUUUCGAUUGAGGCAAAAAUGGUUACGAAAAAAUGUUAUCCAGUAGCAUUGGAAUGCAUCUCCUAUGAGGAGAAGGUUCAAGCAGAAAGGAUAUUUAUUUGAUUUACGCACAGAUAAAAUCCUGGAUACCGUUUUGUUGGAUAACAUGUUACCAAGAAGAACUAUGUGCGAAGAGUUGGACCAACGUUUUUUGAGAACUGAAGAAAGAAAUAGGAGGAAUCUGAGGUGGUCAUGCAUAAAGCCAUCUGAAGAAUAGUAGAACCAGAAAAGCCAAACAAUGCAGCAAAUUUUAAGACACUUCUUACAGUAGAUCUCAAAAGAAAGGAUGAUAACAGCAUUAAAAUGGAGUAAUACAAAAGAAACAUAGAACGGAAUUGGACCAUUCUCAUGUUAUCAAACAAUGAGGUGCAUAAUUUAGUAACAUCAGCAUCUAAACACACCACAAUCACCUACCCCAAAAUCACAUUGCUAUUUCUUUUUAUGUGACAAUAAAAACCCAUCUUUGCGCCAAUUUUCGUAGUACGAAUAAUGCAUUCACCAGAAAAGAUAUAAAUCUAAUAUCACCAGAGUCCGAACACAAAACCUACUACUAAGUACUAAUAAGUACUAACUCACAUUGCUAGUUUGCCACCUACUUGACAGUAUUGGCAUUAUCCAUUCUUUGUUUUUUUUAACAUUGUACUUAAAUGCAUUUACGGCUAUCCAAAAUUUCUGAACAAUGAAAAAUAAAAUUAACUUCAACAUGCAAACAGCAUAGAUCCUAGUUUGGCAUACAAAAAUUGCAAAACUUCAGAACAUCUUAAGAAGUCUUUGAUUUUAAUAGAACAAGAGAACUAACAGUUGAACUUUUUCUUGGCUAUCUUCCCCUCGUUGAGCGAAUACAAGAAGUUCUUUACAGCUUCAGCAUUAAACCGAGCAGUAUACUGCACCCAAAACAAAAGGGUCCAAAUUUCACGCAACUCAUACACCAGCAUUAUAAAUGUCUUAACUUUAAACACAUCCGUUGAAAAAAAAAAAAAAGUUACCUGAACGACCACAACAUAAUACUUUGAAUUGUUGCGGUCACUACAAUCAACCACACUAGAUUGGGCUUGAGUGUUAACCUGGGAAAUGCAAUACAAGGUCCAAAUAAAUAAUUCAAAAAAGAAAAAGCAGAAUGCAAGGGGAAUUGAAGAGGGAUUUCAGAUUGGAGAUUUGAGUUGAAUGAGUUGGGUACCAAGACAAUGCUUUUGCAGAGAUGGUGGACGGAGGCGGCGCCGAGAACGUCGCGCCGGUCAUCGAGAGACCAAUCGUAGUAAUCGGCAGGUACCCUCUUGAAGGCGAAGUCUUUCACGCCAUUGGCGCGGAGAAUGGCGGAGAGACGAGCUUCUGUGGCGCCGAUGGCGUCGUUUUGAGUCGAGGUAGGGAUGGGGGUAGAGCUGUGUUGGGGAAGAGAGGCAGAGGAGGCGAGCUCGAACUUUGAUAUGCGUUCUAGGAUUUGGGUUUGGAAUCGCUCCAGCUCUGCUAGUGAUUUUUCCAUUCUCUCUCUCUCUCUCUCUCUCUCUCUCUCUCUCUCCUGAGUCCAAUUUUCGAGCUUUGGUUAGCCAUACGAACGACGCGUUUCUGAUUGUCGUUUACGAUAUUGUAAACGACAACCGGUCGAUUAAAUAAUGUACAUAACUGUCUUUUUCCUGCUUUGCUCAUCUUUAGUCUCUAUCCGUUCUCUCAGUUGGCCAAAAAAUUGCGUGGUGUUUGGUAAAUUGGUAGGAAUGUUUUGCCAUUGGGAGAGUCUUUGUAUUUUAGAAUAGCAAAAGAAGAAUGUUAGCUACUUUUUCCUAUUGCCUUUUUUAUUUUGUUUUUUUCAUUUAUUUUGUGUCACAUGCGUUUAAUUUACACAUAAAUCUUAUAUAUGUAAUGUAAAAUAUUAAUAUUUUAAUUAAAAAAUAAUUAAAAGGUUUUUGAACACAUUAAAUACAUAAAUUCAUAUGUUCAUGGAAUAUACGUGGCACAAAAUGAAUGGGAAAUGCAAAAAGGGAAAAGCAACACACAAGGUAGCUAGCACUCUUCCGAGUUUGAAAAGCUAGCUUCCUUCCCAUCUUAUGACCCGUUUGGUUCAAGGUUUAGGAGCUUGAGAAUGAGUUUGAAAUUGCAUUCCCAUGUUUGAUAAGUGUACUUUUGGAAAUGCAAUUAUGGACUUACUAGUAUGGACUUCCCAUGUGGGGAGGAAUUUCAUACCCUUGGCUGAGUUUGCGAAUUUUUUCCCCCUACUUGGGAAAGUAGUUAAUGCAAUUUUUUAUGACUAACUUACCCCUAUUCUAUUUUUAAAAUACAAUGUUUUAACUAGGGGUGGCAAUUUUGGGCAUGACCUGUUACACGACUCAAAACUCGCACGAGAAUUUAGCAGGUUCAACCUGCACAUUUAAAAUUUUGGUUCUUUUUGGGUAAACCCGCCAUGAUCUAUUUAAUAAACUGACAAGUUUCGGGUCAAAUCGCCAACACGCUAAAAUACCUAUAUAAUCCGUUUAAUAAAACGGGUCAUGGUGGGUCAACCCGCCAAUCAGCUAAAAUACCCAUGUAACCUGCCAACCCACUAACCCAUUUAUUUGUUUAUUCUUCAUUUUUCUAAUUUUUUUUUAAUGUCUUUUAGUUGCUACCACUUAGGGGGUCAACCUGACACGACCCAAAAUCUGCACGAGAACUUAAUGGGUUAACCCGUGCAUGACACGUUUAUUAAAGGGGUUAGGUUUGGAUUGAGCAUUUCUGACACGUAUAUAAUCUUGACAUGACACGACCCAUUGCCAAUCCUAGUUUUUAACCUUAGAAAAACUCUUCGUAUUUCUUUCUUUGUGAUAUAAAAAAAAAGGUUUAUUUAUUUGCAUGCCCCAUGUGCUUUCAAACUUGUCUCAGAUUACCACUUGGACUUUGAAACGUCUCAAAAUACCCCCCAUAAUUUUAAAAACGAUCUCACGUUACCCAUUUCGUCAGUAUUAUAGAUGUUCCGUUAUGUGCUACGGGCCCUACUUCGUUUUAAUCCUUAACAUUGGAGAAUAAGAGUUUUUUCAGAUUCAGAAAAGAGGAAGGGGGUAUUUGGGUGAGAAGGGGAAAUUUGGAGAAGAAGGCUAGGGCUUAUCAAAAUCUGAGGUGGGGUUUGAAUUUUGGGAGAAUCUGGAGAAGAAAUCACUGUUUGGGCUGGGUUGCUGCUGCUGCAGCUUGUAAUCUAUACCCAGUUCCUAAUCCUUCGCCUUGAAGAUACAAACUACAAAGAACAAUGAUAUAUUUAUAUAUCCCAUUUGAAAUAGAUGAAAGCACAUCAAGAUACAAGCUCAUGUCACCACUCUCUUUCAUAAGAUCUAGAUUGGAUGGGGAAAGGAAUGGAGAAAUGAAGGGGAAAAUAAAAAUCUCCAUCACAUAAAAGAUACUGCCCAGAUAGGAAAGAGGCCAGGUGCUGGAUUUUGUGGGUUUCUCCAUGGAGUAAGACUUAGUUUUUCUUUCGUAAGCCUAUUAUGUCCAAGCUUUCCUCCUGGAAGCCAAGUAUUAGUUGGGUGAUCAAAACUCUGCCAUAUAACAACAGAUGAAUUAAAUGCAUCUGUUAUGAUCCCAUUGUCAAGUAGCAUUGCUACGGUGGAAUGAGAAACCGUUGACUUAGAAUGAGUUGGCCAAACAUAUUAGUUCAAGCAAAUCAUCAGACUUAAACAAAGAGUUAAGUUGUUGCUUCCUCUGUUAUUAACAUUAAUAGUCUCUGGUUUUCCAGGUUACAAAGUUGUUGACAAAUCUUAUGCUGUUAAGAUAAAAUUAAAAGCCCAUCAUCUAUCAAUCAGAACUUGGUAAAUCAGGGCUGCAUUAGCUUGAUACAUCUCUCAAUCAGAACCCAAUUACUUGUAAAAUUGAUUCAAAAAGGGUAAAAAUGUAGGCAAUUUGGGGUCCAUAAUGGUCACUUUCCACCCAAAUUAUAAUUACUUGAUUUAGCUUCAAAUUCAUUAACUAGGUUUAGAGUACUUCUGUGUUCUUCAAUUUGGAAACACAAGUUUUCAGUGGAAGCAGAAAAUCAAGGAACUUUGAAGCAGAGAAAUAACCUGCAUGAGAAGGAAGUAGAACCCAAUCUGCAGUUUUAAUCAAACAUCUCCUCACGUCAAACUACAAAUACACCAUUAUAGUCUGUGAUUGCUUCAAAAUAAAUGUAAUUAACAGACCAUUGUGUUUAUUUGUAUUUAACCAAUUUCUGCAAAAAUCAGUUUAAAGAUUCAAUAUUAAAGCUGAAAUUUCUCAUUCUCACCCAAAUACCCCCUUUCCCUUUUUUGAAGCUGAAAAAACCCUUAUUCUCCAAUGUUAAUGAUUAAAACGAAGUGGGGCCCAAAGAACAUAUCGGAACGUCUAUAAUAUUGACGGAAUGGGUAACGUGAGACCGUUUUUAAAUAUGUGGGGGGUAUUUUGAGACAUUUCAAAGCCCAGGUGAUAAUAUGAGACAAGUUUGAAAGCACAUGAGGCAUGUACAUAAAUAAGCCUAAAAAAAAAGUUAAGGGCAUUGUUGGAAAACUAACAAAUUUUCAUUCCUAAAUCUGCACAAACUAAACAUAGGAAUAGUAUAAAAAUGACAUUUCAUGAUCAUCAUUUCCCAACGUUUCCAAACAUGAGAAUGAACAUCCUUCAUUCCCAUCUCAUGGGAUUAUAUAGGGGAAGUUCAUUUCCAAGAAGUUCAACCCAUGAACCAAACGAGCCCUUACAUUCUCCGUCUUUCAUAUUACCUACUCAUUUUGUGUAAAGUAUAUUUCACUUACACAUAAAUCUAUAUAUAAAAUAUAUUUAAAAACUCUUUAUUCUCUUUACAACAAAAUAUUAGAAUUUUGCAUUAAAUACACGGAUAUAUGUGAGUAGAAUUUACUUGACACAAAUUUAAUGGGAAAGACAAAAAAAGAAAAUUCAAAAGGAAUGCAGCUAACAUUAGAGGUGUUAAACGAGACGGGCCGACCCAGCAUUGCACGAGCUCAGCUCGUUUAAAUGGUGUACGGCAUGGCACUUCACGAGUAUGAAUAUUAGUAGGCCUUGCUCGGCACGGCACGAAAAAUUGAACUGGGCCGGAUUAAAAAAUAGGUCCAAUGAAUCAUGCCAGGCUUGGUCCGAGCCCGCUUCAAGCACGGCACGAGCCUGAGCCCACUUCAAACAUGGCUGAAGCCUGGCUCACUUUAUAAGUAGAUGAUGAACCACCAAACUUUUCAACGAACCUCCCAUGCCGCAUAGCUAUGGCAUGAAUGGUGAAGUUUUCCUUCUCUUUCCACUCAAGAAUGCAUUAUUUAUGCAACCGGUGUGAAAUAUCUGAGUAGCCAUCAAUACUUUAAUCUGUUUCUUUUUCAUAGAUUUGAACAUUGGUAUAGCGACUUCUACUUCGUUUUUGGGCAAAAAUUAUACGAAAAACUAUGUUACAAUUUUCAAGCCAAUUGAACCUUUUGUUGUUAUGAUUACAUUGUUUAAAGUAUUAAAUUCCAAAACUCUGAUAUGAUAGCAGAUGAAAUUCUGGUAUCUACUGUGUGUUCCUCGCAUGAAGACAACAUUCAGGCAAGCCUUCUAGCAUCCAUGCACAGCACCAUAAAACAGAUAAAUCUAAAAGGCUAAUUGUAACUUAGCAAUUUUGUCGAAAUUGUUAAUACAACCAAAUCCAUGUUGUCAGCAAGCAGGCUACACCUAACACCAGUAAACUAACAUUAUAAAUGACAUUAAAAUUAAUCAAUCCGGAAAAACAAAGUCAAUUGCCAUUUCUAUUGCAUAUGAGAUUUGACCCGUUCCACAUUUUUAUACCUUCUUAUUCAACAUCUGCCGUGGACUAAAGACAGUCUGGUAUUGUUCAAAAUCUGCAUGGAAUGACCAAUAAUGAGGAAGAAAAUUGAUCAAGUUGUUUGGUGGUACAAGUAUCUGUCAAUAAUAUAGUCUUGAAAGGUUUGGUUUUGACAACUAAGACAGACAUUGUUAGUAGCCCCAUUUUCAUCCCAGACAAGUCUCUUCCUACAAUCUGAUAGGCUAAUUUUCUAUAGCAAUGACCUUUUCAAUCGAAAACUGUCGUGUAAAUAACAUCUAAUUAGUGUAAGUUGGAUUGGAUGAUGGCUAGCUACAGGGGAGACAGAGUAUUUUGGAAUCAAAUGCUCAUCCAAAUAUUUAGCAUUACAGUGAUUCAGCAGAGUUGCUCUACUUCUAGCAGCUGUGAAGAUCAUGUUGUGUACAUAUUUACAUAACAGAAAAUCUUAAACGAGCCAAUACGACACGGCCCGAUAAAUUAAAUGAACUGACACAGCACGGCACUAAUACCUUAAAGACACGAAUUUAAAUGAGCCGGGCAGGGUGACACCUCUAGCUAACAUUCUUCUAAAAUCAAAAUGAUCAAGAGUUUUGUGUAGCGGUUCCAAUCCAAGAUAGUUUCCCACAGCUUCUUUGUUUGUCUAUUUUGCCCACGGUUUUGAUUGGUCAAAAAUUGUAAAAGUAAAGUCUUCAUCAGUCCUUCCAGAACGUUGACCCAAAACUUCCUCCCCACUCAAACGUCUCAUCGUCAUUCCUUUCCAGCUUUGUCUCAUUUUCAGACACCAUAAAACCCGACAAAUCCCACAAACCCCUCCACUCUCUGCAACAAACAAACCGCCAUAAACCCACAACUCACUGAACUCAAUUCAUCACCAUGCACAAAAGCACUUCAGGCUCACUAGGCCCCAGCGGCCUUGACCUAACCCAGGCCUUCUUCAAGCCCAUCUCCGGCGCCGCCUCACCCUCCUCCACCAAGCGCCACACCAAGAUCUCCGUCAUCGGCGCCGGCAACGUGGGAAUGGCCAUCGCUCAGACCAUCCUCACCCAGGACCUCGCCGACGAGCUUGUCCUCGUCGACGCCAAGCCCGAGAAGCUCCGCGGUGAGAUGCUCGACCUCCAGCACGCCGCCGCCUUCCUCCCCCGCACCAAGAUCAUCGCCGACGUCGACUACGCCGUCACCCACGGAUCCGACCUCUGCAUCGUCACCGCUGGGGCCCGCCAGAUCCUCGGCGAGUCCAGGCUCAACCUGCUCCACCGGAACGUCGCCCUCUUCCGCAAUGUCAUCCCGCCGCUCGCCAAGUACUCGCCGGACACGAUCCUACUGAUCGUGUCGAAUCCGGUCGACAUCUUGACCUACGUGGCCUGGAAGCUGUCCGGGUUCCCCAGCAGUCGGGUUGUCGGGUCAGGUACCAAUCUGGACUCUUCGCGGUUUCGAUUCCUCAUUGCUGAUCAUCUUGAUGUCAACGCUCAGGAUGUGCAGGUGGGUUUCUUUUUUUUACUUCUUCAUGACAUUGCAAAUGCUUGUUUAUAUAUUUGAAGUAGUUUUGAUAUGAAAUUUCUCAGAUGUUUUUUUGGUUUAUAACUAUCAAUUUUGGAUAAAACAUGGUUCUGUUUUUUCGUUUAUUUUUUCAUUUAGUAUAAUAUUACUAGAGAAUCUAGAAUCACUCUCAAACGAGCCUUUAAUUAGAUUAGACAACUUAGUAAACAAAAGAAAAGACAUAAAGUUAAACAACAAUCGCAUAACAAAUAGGAAAAGAGCGAAAUAGUAUCCAAUCAAUAACACAAGAUAACAAGUUAUAUUUUCUCGCCUAUUUACUACGGCAAAGAAUCAAAUUAUCACUAUAUUUAUUCUUUUUUUUUACUUCAUAUAAUUUCCCUUGAUAUUGAUAGUUUAGCGUUAUUCUGUAUUCUCACACCCUCAUAUUUUGGUAACACUGAUAAUGGAGACAAACAAUUUGUUUUUUGUGUGUAGAUAUUAGUCCAAAUUUUCAUGUAAUUUCUUGGGUAGUUGAUAUUUUAAUUGAAAUUUCUGUAUUUUAAGACCAUCCAUAUUGAUGUUUUAGUAGAUAAAACCCCAGAUUUUAAUGUAAUUUCUGAGCUAUGAUCAUAUCUUGUUUGAUAUUUCUAUAUUAAAGUGAUUUCUGUAUUUUUCUUAUGGAAUUAUGGGAUUGUAGGCUUACAUUGUUGGGGAGCAUGGUGACAGCUCAGUGGCAUUGUGGUCGAGCAUUAGCGUAGGGGGAGUGCCGGUGUUGAGUUUCUUAGAUAAGCAAGAAAUAGCUUACGAGAAAGAGACGUUAGAGAGCAUCCACAAGGUGGUUAUAGACAGUGCAUAUGAGGUGAUCAGUCUAAAAGGAUAUACUUCUUGGGCAAUUGGAUACUCCGUGGCCGCGCUAGCUUGGAGCAUAUUGAGAGAUCAGAGGAAGAUCCACCCGGUCUCGGUGCUUGCCAAGGGGUUUUACGGGGUCGACGGUGGAGAUGUGUUCUUGAGCUUGCCGGCCCAGCUCGGGAGAGGUGGGGUUUUGGGGGUGACCAAUGUGCACUUGACUGAUGAGGAGACUCAGAGGCUGAGGGACUCGGCUAACACCAUCUUGGAGCAGCAGUCUCAGUUGGGAUUAUGAAUUCGAUCACCAAGAACAUGGUGGGAUUGAUAUCCCAUCAAUCUUAGUUCCCACUUCUCUGCUUCAGUUUGUUCUUUUCGAAGGCAACAAUUGUCCAGUUUUUGGCUUCAACUAACAGAUGGUAUCUUCACGUUGUAAUGCGGUUUUGGCUUCUUACUGUGGCCUUCUGUUUUAUUUCUCAUGUAAUAAAUAUUAAAUCAUGAAGUUGGAUUAUAUGUCUUUUAAGACUAGUUUUAUAUAUGAAUUGAAACUACCUUUGAACAGAACUAAGAUUAUAUGUCUUAAGAGAGAAAUAUUUUUGCUCACCACUCUUCUCAACACUUGACACAUGUUCAUAAGCUUAACGAUAAUUAGCUAUUUGUUUUGUAUUUAUGGAAUCAUGGUUGCAUUCAUGGGCAUGUGUUUAGUGUUGAGAAAGGUGAUAAUGAUACAUAUUGGGUUAAAGUGGUGAGUAAAAAUAAGCUGGCCAAUAAUUUAGGAAAUGUAAAAUAUCAAAUUAAGUUUGUAUCAAAUUUAAAGGAUACGGAAAAACUAGUUCGAUUGAGCAUCUCCAAAGGAAGAGGCAAAUGAAAUAGGCAAAAUUGUACUAUAACAACCUAGGUGGUAUGUUGCCUAUUCAUUUGCCUCAUGAAAAAAGUUGAUCACUCAAAAUAUCAAAUUAAGUUUGUAUCAAAUUUAAAGGAUACGGAAAAACUAGUUCGAUUGAGCAUCUCCAAAGGAAGAGGCAAAUGAAAUAGGCAAAAUUGUACUAUAACAACCUAGGUGGCAUGUUGCCUAUUCAUUUGCCUCAUGAAAAAAGUUGAUCACUCAAAGGGACUAGAUAAUACAAGUCUACAAACUAUUAUUAUAUUAUUUAUUUCUAUCUUUUCAUAUGCUAUUAUAUUUUAUAGAAAGUAAGUGAGAGAGUGAAGAUGAUAUCUUAUUAUAAAAAUCAAGUGGGAUUCACUAUACCUUUUCACUUUGAAGUAGGCAAUAUUGCCUUGUUGGGGAGAGUAGGUAUAUUUUGCCUACCUAUUUGCCUCAUGAAAAUGCUGAUAUGACAAGGCAAAUGAGUUUUGCCUACUCUUUUGCCUCUUUCCUUGGAGAUGCUCACCAAAACUUUUUCCUUCACAUGUAUUCGAGUUUCUGGUGAGACAUUUCUGGCAUUUGGCACAGAGAAAUGGCUUAUGAUCCAAAAAUGAAGUUUGGAUAUCCUCUGCCUCUCUGUCCUGAUUAAUGGAUUUCUCUUUGGCCAUGGAUCAGGUUGAUCACUAGAAUGGUUUUUCGGUUGGUUGGUUUGUUUUUUGCUGAAAACUUGUGCCGGUCCAGCCAAAAAAGAAAAAAAGAAAAAAAGAGAGAAGGUGGGCUGGUUGUUUCCUUGUUCUAAAUGGGCUUUACCAAAGUGAGGCUUUUAAUUCUUCUUAACAUAAACCACUAAACUUAAAAACUUUAGCCCGUAUUAAACUCUCGUGAACCAAUCACAAUCUCUACGUAAGUUCAUUAAGAAUUAAUCAAUGGGCCAUGUAAUUUGGCACAAUUAUUUUAACGGCCCAAAAAAAAAAACAAUUUUCGUUUUGAAUACAAGUGAUAGUUUAAAUUAUAAAGGGAAAAUAAUUUCUCAUACAUACUACUAAGGUGUCAUGGAGGUUCGAACUUGAGACCACUAAUAUGCAAGUCAAGACCCUUUUUCAUUGAGCUCGACGCCUUUGACAAAGAAGACAAUUUUAUGAAGAGAUUAGACGAAAGUACAUUGGUCUUCUUUUGUUUGGUCUUCAAGCAUGGCAUCUUCGUCUUUUGCCAAAGACAAAAUUGAAAUGACAUAUCUAGCUAGCUAGCUAGCAAGCUCUAUCACGAGAAAACGUAUUGGCUUAUUUCAUUGUGAGAGGUUGUCUAUGUGACAAAGAUAAAAAUCAGAAACUGUUCGAAUUGUUCCUUGUGUAGUCAGUGAAGAUUAGAAUAUGGACACCUGAGGUUGCUUCCCCAUUUGAGGUAUCCGGUCAUUUACAAGAUGUUUACAUCUCUACAUUUUGUGCUUAUUUAGAAGUGUUUUUAUAAGUAAAAACAACUUUUAUAUAAUCAAAAGCGAUUUUUUAAAGAAAAAGUUAAAAGUGCCUUUCAAUUCUAAAAAUAUUUCUGAUUGCUUUUGAAGACGUGUUUCUAAGUGUUUAAUUUUUUACUGUGCUUCCUACAAAAGUAGUUCAAAACGGACCCUUAAUUACUUUAAAAAGAUGUGUGUCAUCACCACCUUAUCUUUGGCCAAAAAUCGAUCCAAUUAGGAAACAUACAAAACAAGAAAAUCAAUGAUCACCCAAAUCAACUGCAACCUUUAAAUUAUAUGUUGAUGAUAGAAUUAGAGUAUCCAACAUAAAAUCAAUUAACACUAGGUGGAGAGCCUUAAUUAAGAUCUAUAAUCUUACAUAUUCAUGUGGUGUAAGGCUUUACUUUCUCUGGUAUAAGAUAAUACUCUCAACAUUUCAACUCCAAAAUUCUUAAAUUCAUUUUGAAUUAAUGUUUAUACUCAUUAAUUAGGUUACAUUGGAAGAAGUUUGGAACCUAUAUGGUCUAUAUAUAUAUGCAUAAAACAUGCACAAUAUUUACAUAUACUUGCAUGUUCCAAACUUCCACCGUCAGUUUUGUUAAUUUGUGUUGCACUGUUUCGUCCAUGUAUCACUGUUUCAGUGCGUACAUACAUACGCCACUGCUUCAGUGCUUCUAGGCCUUUUCCAAAACUGUGAAUACGCAUGUGACGCGUACUCAGGCAUCUCUCUCUCUCUCUCUCUCUCUCCAGUGGAUGUUAUUAUUCAGAAGUGAUUAAAAAUUAACGAGGGAGCUUAAUUAUUAGAAAGUUGGUUUUAGCUGUAUUAUUAGACAUUUCGUAUUCUAUAGAUUAUUUGAUUAACAAAUUGGUGUUUUCAGAACAUGGCAUGUAUAAAAUUUCAGUGAUCCUGAUCACUUCAGUGAUCUAAUCACAGAGGUCACGGACGGGAAUAAUCCGACUAGAAAGAGUCAAAUUGGACAACUUAACAAUUCUAUAUAUUAUAUAAGACAUGUACGUACAGAUGCCACCAUACUUGAUAUAGUUUGAUAAUUACCAAUCAGUGCUUCCUCUUUGUCAUGUAUUCGUCAAGAUGCAUAACCACCACCACCACUACUAUUACCAUUUGAGGAGGUUAUCUGUAGGGUCAAAUGAAUCCAAAGGGGUCUUUUCUCUGAAUAAUAUUUGUGCAGUAUACUGGGUUUGUGUGGUACAACGAAUCUACAUGUUAUGACAUGAGUGAACGAUAUGAUAUAAUCAUAUUACAUAACAAAUGUACUUGUUAUACCAAGUGACAUGAGUGAACGAUAUGAUAUAAUCCUAGCUCAUUUUAUUAUCCUCUCACUGGCAUCGGCAAGUUGAGGACAAGUUCUGUAAUGACAUGACAUAUUUGAAUGCAGUUGCUCAAAAAUUAUUCUUGGAUAACUAUACAAACCCGCAAUGUAUUCUAACAUUCCAAAAUUGUGUGAAUAUAGAGCAAUAUGACCCCCUAAAUAAAAAUCCAGUUCAUUUUCAAGCUAAAACACAAGAAGAGUAGCAGAGGAUGACAUGUCGUACGGUUGAUUUGGACGUCUCCAGCAUUAUCAACUUGCAAAACAUGUAAAUAACAAUCAGCAUAUAUUAUAUAUAUGAAUGAAAUGGCCGCAAUGCAUGACCAAUUACUUCAAGUAAAUAUCAUUUUACUCUGCUAUUGCUGAAUAUUAUUAGAACAUUGUUUCGUAGGGGACAAGAAUUAAGCAGACCUGGCUUUUAUAACUAAACACACACAAAAAUCCAAACUCCAUAAUCCCAAAAGCUUAUCCCGCCAUGUUGCUUUGCCAGGUUGUAUACCCUAGGCAUCAUUUCCAAUCCAAUGUGCCCAUAUGGGUCAUUCUAAUUAUUUUAAUCCCCACCCUACAUCACUCUCCAUCUAUAAAAGCCCUAGCUAGCUACCAAUCUCAAACACAUCACAUCUCUCAACUUAUAAAUCCUCCAAAAGCUAAGAGCCAAUCAAUUUCCCAAAUGGCUUCCAAGGCUCUAGCUUCCACUGCUCUCCUCCUCUCCCUUAACCUCCUCUUCUUCACUUUGGUCACCUCCACCAAUGUUGCUUGCCCACCACCUCAGAAAAAGGGUCAUAAACACCAGCCCAAGCAUGCAAGUCCUGCACUACCCAACCCUAACCCCUCUAAGCCUGCCACGUGCCCCAAAGACACAUUGAAAUUGGGGGCAUGUGCUGACUUGUUGAAUGGUUUGGUGCACCUUGUUGUUGGUCCACCAAAGUUCCCUUGCUGCAGCCUCAUUGAGGGCCUUGUUGAUCUUGAUGCUGCUGUGUGCCUUUGCACUGCAAUCAAAGCUAAUGUCUUGGGGAUCCACUUAAACAUCCCCGUUUCACUCAGCCUGCUCUUGAACUACUGCGGGAAGCAGGUCCCAAGUGGCUACGAGUGUGCUUAAAUUUGAAGUACUAUUUAUCCGUACUGCUCUCAAUUUUUAGCACUUGGGUUUUCAUUAAUUUCCUUCGUUUCUCAUUUUCAUCAUGGUGUGCCUAAGAGCUUUGUUGGGAUGUUUAUUGGUAUAUUCCAUUAUACAUUCUUAUUAUUAAUAAUUCUUUCUAUAUUGUAUUGAUGGAUGGAUGGAUGGAUGGUAGGCUACUUGCCUUCUUCCACAUCCUCUAUAGCAACUGUAUUUUAGUGAAAAUAUUAUUGAUUGAGCUGAAAUAAUGAAUUUGUGAUGUUUCAGAAAGUAAUUGAAUUUGAGUUCCUUAUUGCAAUGUUUGUUCUACUACUACAAUUUUAUUUUCUGGGUAUAUGCACUACUGCUAAUUAGUACUCCUGUCUCCUAUGCAUUGUGAGGAACAUGAAAUCUCUUAUUCAUUGGGUCCAAAAUAAUAGUUGGAAGCGAAAAAAUUGAUUGUGAUUUUUCUAAGAAUUGUUAAUUGUUAAAGAGCAUCCGUAUGUCGAAAGAUGGAACCUUAACACAAGAGCUUAAAAGAUCUUUGGUCUACCAACGGGGUCUAGCUCAAUGAAAAAAGACAUCGACUUGCAGACUAGUAGUCUUAAGUUCGAACUUCCAUGACACUUUAUUAGUGUGUAUGUGAGAAACCCUCUCCACCUUAUAAUUUAGACUAUCACUUAUAUUUAAAAAGAUCUUGAACCUCUCUAGCCAUUGCAAAUUAAUUUUGAGAGAUUUUUUUUAUCAAGACAUGUUAAACUAAUCAACACAUGCUUUUUGUUGACCUUAUUCUUCCUGGUCGUACAUACGAAGAAUUAUAGCAUCAUUGAUUCAUCGCACAUUUCACUUGUGUAAGUGGCUAGAUAUAAGCAUAACUUUGAAGUUAAUUAUUAUAUUCAUAUUAACAAGCGUUUAUGAUCCAUGUUGAGCUUGUGUGGAACUACUUCUGGAGAAGUGCAUUCAAGAAUCACUUUCGAAUGCUUUUUCAAAAAGCAAUUUGAUUUUUAAUAAAAACUUUGACGUUCUUCUAAUAAUAGAAGCACUUUAGAAAAAAGUGUUUAUGGGCAAAUUUUCCUGUAAAAAGAAGUCACAAACGGGUUACGGGUUACGGGUCCGUUCGUUAUUAGAGAUCCAAUUUUCUAGAUAAUUUCAGACUGUGAAGUUAGAGAGACCGAGAAUGAAUUUUGAAGUUAAUCAUGUUAAUAUUACUAAGAUACAUGAACAAAGGUGGCGGUGGCCCAGAGUUUGUAGAUCCAACUGGCCAGAUAAAUCAUGUAUAUGCUAGCCUGUCAAUCGUAAAUUCGAACUGAAAGUUAGCUAUUUAAUCAAUAAUUAAUAUAUGUGUUAACAUCAUUUUACCCUCUCAAAAUUUAGGAUCAUUCUUCAAAUGAACCACCCAGUUUUAAUUUUGUCAAUUUACGCCUAACUAUUUAAAAUUCGAUUAAUUUACACGUUCCGUCAAUUUGACCGUUUAGUCUUCUGUUAAGUGAUGAUCCACCUUUUUAGCUCAAGUAUAAUAAAAUAUGUAAUAAGUAAUAUUAAAAAAAUUCUUUAUUUUAAAGUUAAGUAAAAUCAAUUAUUUAAAACAACAACAAAAACAUAAUUAAAAAACCCAACACUAUGACCAAACUCCCAGGCCAUUACCAACCAACUCCAAACCCAGCAUCUCCACUACCCCAUCCUUCUUCUUCCUCAUUUUUCUUUUCUUCCACAUCCCCACCUUCAUUCCCAACACCCAUUUCUCCUUCAGAUGCCUACGCUCAUCUCCUUCCUUUAGAGGGGGGAGAUUGGGGGGUAGGGAUGGUUUCAGAUCUGGGGUGCGAUGGGUUGGGGAAGGAGGAGAGUGGGUUGUUUGUAGGCGGUGGUUGUGAGGUAGUCUGGGUUGUUUGUAGGCGAUGAUUCUAAGGUGGUUUGGGUUGAAAGAGGAGAGGGUUUGGUGACGAGGUUUGAUUGGAAUGUUGUUUUUUUUUUUUUUUUGGUUUUAAAUAAUUGAUUUUAAUAUUUUUAAUUAACUUAAAUAGUAAAAAAAUUAAAUUAUGCUAACGACAAAAGACACCCUGCUGGUUUAGGGUCAUUAUCGAAUUGGACCCCACCAUAUCAAUUUUAUCAAUUUACGCCCUGACGUUUUGAACAUCGUCCAAUUUCAUCCUUCCGUUAAGUUGACUAGAUGGUUAAUCGUUAACUGUUGACGUGGCACCCGUGGGACCCACCCCAUCAACGAUUUGACCAUUCAUGUCAUGCCAUAUGAAGGACAGUCUUGGGUUUCUACAAUUUUUUUUAUAAAAAAAAAAAAAAAGAACAUCGCCCCUAAAAUUGGGCACGCUUUGCAAGAAGACGACUAAAGUAAAAGCCUCAAACCGUUGUUCGUCCUCAACCUCAAUGUAACCUAAAUCCUAAAUCUCCAUAGUUGACAGCAAGUUCUAUGAUUUCGAAGAAGUGAGAAGAAAUGAGUUGGGAUUUCAGGGUUUCAGGCGCUCCACAUCCAUCGUACGGUAAGUUGGUUUAAAUUUUUACAAUUUGGGAUAUUUGUGUUGAAUGGGUUAGAGGUCGUAAGGGUUAUUCUGGUUUGAAUGUUGAGUUUUAUAGGGUUUAGUGGAAUAGUUGGAGAAGUAUGAAAGAUUUUGUCGAAUAUAGGUGGCCUUAUUACAGAUUUCAAAUAUAGGUGGUCCUUCAAGCUAAGCAUGUGUGUUGGCAAUGUCUGCCUUUAAUACUCUAAGCUUCUGCUUUUAAUAAUGCAAAAGUGUUAGGUGGAAGGGUGUGAAAAAGGUUGUUUAAUAAAAAUUUGGACUUUUGUAUAAUGGUCCUAAACAGAAAAUAAUUGAAAAGUCAGUUAUGGUUUUUGUGUAAAGUUUGAAUACUGUGUUUUGUGUUGUGUUUUAUGUUUGAACUGAAAAUAACCCAUUUUUGGGACAUGUAAUAUGUAGGUGAUCCUGAAUUGUUUUCUAUUCGAAUGUACCAUGGUGGUUAAAUCUGUGGUAACAGUUAUGCUUCUGGCAGUGUAGCUUGGUUUGAUUAUUGUGACAAUGAUAGAAUGUCAAUGACUGAGAUAGACAAUAUAGUGAGGGAGUUAGGCUAUGAUGAGGUGAUUAGUUACUAGUAUAGUAUCCCUAUAUAUAGCAAUGGUGGCCUAUAGCAAAGCUUAAUGAUGAUCAAGAUGUCAUAGACAUGCUUGUAUUUGUACCAGAGACAAGGCUAAUAGGCAUCUCUUCCUACAUCAUGGGGUUGAUAAUAAUGAGCAUUGGUUUUAUAGUCAAUCAGGAUCAAAUAUGUUUGUUGAUGUAGAAGCUGAUAUUGUGCCUAACGGAGGAGUUGUGAUUGAGGAGCUUGAUGACAAUUAUGGGGCUAUUGUUCUUGUUGGUGGGAAAUGCAAACAAUGGAGGCAACAAAAAAGAAAAAAACAAGUGUGGUGAUAGAAGAGCUCAAUGAAGACCCAAAUGGGGAACAAAGUGGUGGGGGUUACGCAAAAGCUAAGGGAAUCUUGUGCAGGACAUGGUGUUUCUGAAAAAGGCAAAGAAAAGGCAGUAGAGAGAGAAUCUUCUGCUGUGCAAAAAGACAAAGAAAGAGCUGUUGAGAGGGAAUCUCCUGCCACUGUAGACAAAGGGAAAAGUAAAGUCAAUUAUGUUUUUGGAAAAAGGAGGGCGAGAGCUUUUGGUAAAAGGAGGUGCAAAAAUGUAAAAAAGACACGUAAUAAAGAAGACCAAAGGUCCAAUACAGUGACUGAGGGACUAGUUCAGAAAGAGGUUGUUGAAGGAAGUGUAGAAAAGAGCAACUUAUCAGGAUGUCAUCCAAUGAAGACAAGAAAAGCAAGAACAAGGACCACAGUCUGUCAUGAUGAGAAGGAGUUAGUAGACAGUCUUGACUCUGAUUUUGCAGACCCUAACUUCAGUUGUGAUGAUAAUGAUGAUGAUGUCGAUUUUGAUGAAUGGGUGGACAAACAAACUGAGUGGGUUGGAGAUGGGGCAAAAGGAAAAGAGCCAGAGUCAACAAAUGUUGGGGUUGAAUCUUAGGAUUGGGGUGCAGAUGUUGAACUGGAUUCAGAAGAGUAUGAUUAUGAUAAUGUGCAGCCUCAAUAUGACUCUGAAGAUGACACUCCAAUGACGGAUAUAUGGCCAGAGUUCAAUCCGGCAACUAACAUGGCAGAUCCAGAGUUUGAGGUUGGGAUGAAGUUUAGCGAUUGUAAAGUUUUUAGAGCGGUUGUGAGAGAACAAUUUAUAAAGAGGAAUAGGGAUGUCGUAUUUGUGAGAAGUGAUGCUUUAAAGCUAAAGGCAGUUUGUAGCCUAUGAGAGAUAUAUGUUUCCAAAAUGCAACAUGAGAAGACCCUGCAGCUUAAGAAAUAUGAGGGUUAACACACUUGUGGUAUUGUUUGGGAGAACCCUACUGUGAAGUCUAGUUGGCUGAGUGCCAAAUAUAUGGAAAUAUUGAAGAGCAAUCCAAGUUGGCCAGUUAGCUUAUUCAUGGAGACUGUGGAGAAAGAUUAUAACACUGGAGUUUCUAGGCAACAAGUUUAUAGGGCAAAAGAGAAGGUAUUAAGGCAGAUUGAGGGAAUAUACACAGAGCAAUACUCCAGAAUUUGGGAUUAUUGUGAAAAGUUAAGGAAGACCAAUCCAGGAACAACAACAGAAGUUCAAUGUGAUUUCAAUGAACAAUUGGGUCAUCCAGUGUUUCAAAGGUUAUAUGUGUGCCUAGGUGCAUGUAAAGCAGGGUUCAUUGCUAGAUGCAGACCCAUUAUUGGAUUGGAUGACUGCUUCUUGAAGGGUGUAUAUGGAGGGCAAUUUUUAGCAGCAGUUGGUAUAGAUGCUAAUAAUGAAACAUGGGUGAUUGCAUAUGCAGUGGUUGAGUCUAAGUGCAAGGAGUCAUGGGUUUGGUUUCUGGAAUUGCUGGUAAAGGAUAUAGAGAUUGUUAACCAGUUUGGAUACACUUUCAUAUCAAACAAGCAAAAAGGAUUAUUACCAGUUUUGAGCAAGUUGUUCCUAAUAGUGAACACAGGUUUUGUGCAAGACAUCUGUUCACCAACUUCAUAUUACAAUUCAAAGGGAAAACUUUGUUUGACAAAUUCUGGGGUGCUGCAAAAGCAACAACUGUUCCACAGUUUGCAAGACAGAUGGAAAAGCUGAAAAACCUUGAUAUGGAUACUUAUGCUUGGCUGACUGAACCAAGAAAACCUCCCAGGAAUUUGUCUCGAUCACACUUCAGCACUCAUGUGAAGUGUGAUAUGCUUUUAAACAAUAUGUGUGAGUUCUUCAACUCAUUCAUAUUGGCAUGCAGAGAUAAGCCAAUACUGACCAUGCUUGAGAUAGUUAGGUGUAAGUUGAUGAGGAGGAGACAAGGCAGAAGGGACAAAAUGAAGAAUUAGACAAAGGAAAUUUGCCCCAAGUGAGAUUAAUAAAGCAAAAGAGGUGGUUGUGUGACUAUGUGGUCAGGUGGAGGAAAAUUUCAAGUUGGCAGUGGUGGGAUUUCACAAUAUAUUGUGGACUUGGAUUUAAGGAACUGUUUUUGCAGAGAAUGAGAUUUGACUGGUUGGCCUUGUGUUCAUGGAGUGGUAGCUAUAAAUUACAAUGGGGGCUUAAACGUAAUGGAUUAUGUGGAUGCAUUUUAUCACACUCAGACAUAUUUCAAGGCAUAUGAAAACCUCAUACUACCUAUGAAUAGGAUGGAGUUGUGGGAUAGAACUAAUAUGCCACCAUGUGUGCCUCCUUCAUACUCCAAACAACCUAGAAGGCCAAGAAAUGCUAGAAGGAAGGAAACAGGUGAAUGCAGCAACAAGGCCAAUAUUGUUACAAAAGUUCAAGACUCACUGAGGUGUGGCCAAUGUGGAAGAAAAGGCCACAAUAAAAGGACUUGUCAUAGGAAUCUCCCCCCAAAAACAAAAGUCAAAAAGAGGAAGGCUGAGGUAAACAUCUAAGAAUGAACUUUUGUUAAUGUUAUAAAUGUUAAUGUUUUUGGAAUAUGAUGCAACUAACAGGUUUGAUUUGUUGUCUCAUCCCAGCAAACUACUCAAACAAGUGAAGCUGGUCCCAAUACAAAAACAAGGCGAGCUAAGCCUACAAGAUCUGUGCAUAAAGGAAAAAGAAAGAGAAAGGCCACCAAUGCAGCUGGAAGUUCAAAUGCACCACCAACUGAUUCAGCUGCUCCAUCCUCAACACCUACAACUGGAUCUGCCUCUCUUGCAACUGGAUCUGCCUCUCAUGCAUCAACUGAAGCUUCAACUGACAAUUCUUAUUUAUUGAGGAAACGACCUAUGGUUGUGGGAGCAUUAGACUUGAGCAAGGAAUGAUGAUGGUUUGUGUUGUAUUAGCCGGUUUGGUUAUUUUGAGCAUGAGACAGUUUUACCUUUAUUAGCUGGUUGGAUUAGGUUAUUAUAUUAUUAUGUUAUUUUGGAAGACAACUUGCCUUGUGAUCAAAUAUGUAAGACAGGUUCUGUUUUUUUUUUUUUUUUUUUUUUGGGAAUACAGGUUCUGCUAUUUUGGAAGGUUGUAAAUGUUGUUCUGUGGCUUAUUUUGUUGUAAUGCUACAAGUGGAUAUGUUAUUAGGUAGCCUAUUUUGUUGUAAUGCUGCGAGUGAAAAUCAAUUUGCUCAUAUGUUGUACACACAAGUUAUUGGAAUGAACAUGUCAUUGCAUUACCAAAAUUUCACACUGUAUGCAGAUUACAUAGCCAUUCCCAUUACAUAACAAAAAUGCAAAAUGUUCAUUCCCAUUACAUAACCAAAACCACACUGCUUUCCAUACCAAAGACACAGUGCAGAUCUAACUAAAUGCAUAGUACUUCCCAUACCAAAGCACAGUGCAUCCCUAAAACACCCAAUUUCAUGCCAAUUCCAAAGUUUUCAGCUUCAAUCCAUCUGAUCCACUAUUCCGUCCAAAGACGGACAUUGCAUUAAGCAUCCACGAUACCACCAAUGCUGCCCAAAGAACCUUUUCUCUGUGUCUAGUCUUUAUUAGUGAAUUCUCCAACUUAUCUCGCGAUUUUAGCAACCCCGGAAUCACAACUUUAGACCUUUCACACAUUUCCACAUCAUACCAAACCCAGAAAUCACAACCUCCUCUACUUUGCACAAAACCCACUCUGUAAAUUAACAUUUGCACCUGCUGCAAUUCAAAUUCUAAUAUUUUGCACCAAAUCCAGUUUUUUAUCUUUGUACACACAGCGAAUUGCCUUCCAGGAUUCGAAAUUGUCCACGAAGUUCGGAUUCUUGCAUUCUUACCACACCAACACACCAUCGCCUGAUGCUCCAUUUCUCCUUUGUUUUCUGGGUUAAGGAUCCAAUACAAUCGGGCGGCUCACUUCUUAGAAAUCGUAUAUCUAAGCCCUCAGCUAUGGAAAUUUAAGAUUUAUGUUGGGUUUAUGACAACUUUGGGGCUUUCUCUUCGAUCUCCAGUUGAGGUUGAGGACGAACGACAGUUUGAGGCUUUUACUUCAGUCGUUUUCUUGCAAAGUGUGCCCAAUUUUGGGCUCGAUGUUACAUUUUUUAUUUUAUUUUUUAUAAAUUGUAGAAACCCAAAACUGCCCUUCAUAUGGCAUGAGAUGAAUGGUCAAAUCGCCGGUGGGGUGGGUCCCACGGGUGCCACGUCAGCAAUUAACGAUUGACCGUCUGGUCAACUUAACAGAAGGAUGAAAUUGGACGAUGUUCAAAACGUCGGGUGUAAAUUGAUAAAAUUAAUACUGUGGGGGUCCAAUUCGAGAAUGACCCUAAACCAGCAGGGUGUCUUUUGUCAUUAGCCCAAUUAUUUUUUAUAUAUUUUAUUACACCUAAGCUAAAAAGGUGGACCUCAUGUUUGCCACAUCAUCACUUAACAGAAGACCUAGCGGUCAAAUUGACGGUAUGUGUAAAUUGGUCGAAUUUUAAAAUAUUAGGACGUAAAUUGACAAAAUUAAAACUACGUGGCCCAUUUUAAAAAUAACCCUAAAUCUUAAAGGGGUAAGAUGAUGUUAGCCUUUAAUAUAUCAACAAAAUGAGAACAUAAUUAAGCUACUAAAAAUUUUCUACAAAGAAAUUUAAAGCUAAAUACAUUGCAAAUCAUUUUUUUUUUUUUGGACAACCAUUGCAAAUCAAUGGUGAGGACAAUUCUUAAUUAAUUUAAUUAAAUUUAUAUUUCUUUUAAAUCCUAUGUUCCAGGUGACAGAAAACAAGUUCCAACAGUCCAACUUGGCCAAAUGGGUCAAGUCCAACUUGUAGCUCCUUGUUUCCUGUAAAGAUCAACAACCUAUGGAUUCAUCAUUAGCGCGCUAAAGAUCCAACGCCUUUCUAACGAGUCAGCAAAACGACAACUUGAUUUUAACCCUUGACUAAAAUUUUGUAAUUUUACAGGAAUUAUUUGACUUUCUUUUUUGUUUUUGUCAAAAAAGUCAUUUCCAUCUUAAAUAAAUAUGGUAACGGCAAAAAUAUAAUAUUAUUGUCGCCAAUGACGACUAUUAUUAGGGUAAAUUCAAAAAAAAUUGAUCUAUGAAUAAAUACUUGAAAAAUAAAAAUUUUGAAUCGUUGAAAAAAAAAAUCAUAGAUCCUAAAAGAUAUCCCACCUCUCUCACCUUCGAUAGAAAAAGACUGAUUAUAUAUAUGCGCUACUAUAAUUAAUGUGUUAGACUAGUGUAGGAUAACUUCUCCCAAUAAUGUGAUCUUAACUAUGUUAUUAUACGAAUUUCAGCACCAAAUUUCUAAUCCAAGAUACUGAUAUUGUAAAUGUGUCGGCGGAUAUGUAGCGAUAUUUUUUCUCAUCCUAUCAGUUACAAUUUUUUUUCUUUUGGUUUGGUAAAUAGGAAGAUCACAUGUUCGCAUCGUGGAAUGUACCCAAAAUAAUUGCACUUUCUUUCUGUACCGCAAACCCUAAAGCUAGCUCUACCUUUUUUUUUGUGCAAAAUAACUUUCCUCCAUAACCCGCCAACGAAAGAAAAUAGGGAAUGGACCAAACAUGAUUUCUCUUGUCUGUGCAAAAUCUAUAAUCUCUGUGAAACCGAAUUACAAGCUGGUGGGUUCUGAAAUCCAACACAUGCAUAUUCACGGAUUGCACUUCUGUCAACUAGUCACGGAUUGUUUAUUGAAGUUUGCACACCUCCAACAACAAUCCAAACUCUGCAUUUUAUUUUCACUUGGAAUCUCCACAGCUCUCAUGUUUUUUUACCACAGCUUCUUGUUGUUCUUCCACGUUUAAAUAUAGUCCUUGUUUUCCCUUCCAUUUGUCACACACAAAACUCACGGAUUGCUCAUAAAAUUCACCUAUAUAUAAUCCUUUGGAUCGUCAAACCCAUCAAAACCCAGAAGUUUUAAAGUAUAACUAGUAGCUAGUGAUCUUGUAAAAUCAUGGGUUCCAAGGUUACUGCCAUGUUCUUCAUCUCUUUGAUUUGCACGGUUUUCGCAUUGCCUCCAAUUCAAGCUUGUACACCUUGUACUCAGCCACACCCAUCAAAACCACACCCUCCACAUCAUCCAUCACAUCCACCACAACCACCUUCCCACACUCCAACCCAUCCCAAAAACCCACCAACCCCAAAACAACCACCACACCAUAAACCGCACCCAAAAGCCCCAUCCAAGAACCCACCGGUUAUAUCCCCGCCCAUAGUAAAACCUCCACCGCACCCAAAACCCCCAUCCAAGAACCCACCCGUUAUAUCCCCGCCCAUAGUAAAACCUCCAGUCACUAACCCUCCUGUGACAAUCCCACCCCCUUCCACUCCUUACCCCGGCAGCCCUCCUGGUGGUGGAGGAGGCGGAGGGGGCGGAGGGGGCGGAGGG
RNAcentral lists this long non-coding RNA (62285 nucleotides) under Prunus persica (peach). Its description in RNAcentral is "long non-coding RNA (PPER_LNC005391)". Lineage: Eukaryota; Viridiplantae; Streptophyta; Magnoliopsida; Rosales; Rosaceae. The record is from RNAcentral.